This 51769-nucleotide long non-coding RNA is filed under the name Capsicum annuum. RNAcentral's name for it is "long non-coding RNA (CANN_LNC002565)". The record is from RNAcentral. Lineage: Eukaryota; Viridiplantae; Streptophyta; Magnoliopsida; Solanales; Solanaceae.
AAUAUAUAUAUAUAUAUAUAUAUAUAUAUUUAUGAAUUUGAUUAUGUGCUUGGUUUUGAAUGAUUUUAAAUUGUUGAUCAUAUCAUUAUGUUAUCCUUAUCCUCGAGUUUCAUGUUAGCAUUCACCCCGCUAAAUAUCUUCGGACAUUGUAUCCCCACACGAUGUAGGAACUAGUCAUACUUCUACCCCUCCUGCUCAGUGACUUGGAUUCGGGAUCAGCUAGCGAGUCAUAUUGAAGUGGUUUUGCUUCCAUACUUUGGAAGACCAUAUUUCAUGAUUAUGGUUUCCUUUACAUUUUGACUAUUCCUUUGGAUUUGGCUUUUGGCUAUUGUCCGGGUUAUGUCCCGACACUUUAUUUAUAUUUGGUUUUGGAUCAUAGUUUAGAAGGCUUUGCUUAGACUACUAUGCCUAUUGGGCGGAAUUGGUUAGGUUGUUGGCCGAUCGUUGGUGGUUAGUUAUGGACAUACAUUUAAAAUUUCUUAGACUAUUCUACGCUAUCUGGACGGUCACGACUAGGCCCUGGUUUGGGUGGUGACAUUUAACUCCAGGGAUACUAAAUUGUGUUUUCUCUCAUCCUUGUCAUUAUCAAAUUGCAUUAAAAAGGUAUGUUCACUUGUGUAAAUUUGUUUAAGCUUCUCUUCAAGUUUUAAUGGUAGUUCAUAUUUCAUGAUACUUUGUGGCUAUAUUGUGAUUCAUUUAAGUUUCUUUUGAUGAAAUAUGGUUGUUGGAAUGUAGAAUGUCAAAUGGGUGAGAUGUUUUUAUAUGAUUAAAGGUGCUGAAGAAUAUUUCCUUGAGAUUAUUGCAAACUCAAAUGCAUGUUUGGGGUAUCUUCACUGAUAUGGAAUCACUUCCAAUCCAUCAAGCUAUCAUUUGGAACUAGUGCAAGAAUUUUAUGCCUCUUAUGUAUUUUCCACAACCAACACAAAUACAAUCCAUUGGUAGUGGGACAAUCAUGCCUUCAUAGUGUGGUGGUUUGGGAUUCGAAGUUCAAUAUACCCCACUAGAAAUCAAUGAAAUUUAUUUUGCUUGUGAUUAGGUUUUUGGGGUUGAAUUCAAGAAGAAGGUGCUUGUUGGGAAUGAGGGUUUUCCUUGUAUAUUCUGGGUGAUUGCAAAAAGGCCCCAUCUAUAGGCCAAAUGGCAUUGGACAAAUCGAGCGGCGGAUACUUUCAAUCUGAGCUAACAUUGGCUUGGAUUUGUUAGUAAUAGCCUACUUCAUUCACAGAAUAACCAAGAUCUCACUAUAGAGCUGGCUAUCAUUGUUGGUUGCAUCAUGAAUUAUAUUAUAGUUAAUUUAAAGGAGUUGAUUAUGGAAAUGAUCAAGUUAAGGUUAAAGAAACCGGGUAAUUCAUUUCCAUUUCCUUCUCUUAUUUCAUUGCUUUGCGUUAAGUAUAAGGUUUUGUUCUUUUGGAAAAUUGACCAGAGGGUUAUUUGCACUAGUGCGAUUGACAUUAAACAUUGCCAAAAUGAUAAUAAUUCCACAGGGAUUAAGAGGAAAGCUUCGGUAUUGGUGGAUUCUUUUGUGGGAGAGUUGCCUAGUUUAGACGGUAUGGAUAUUCUUUUGGUCCCUUUACUUGCUUUGGAUGCUCCCAAAUUUCUAUUGACGCUCCUCCUUUUUCAAGCACCUCACCACCCUAUUGACCUACCCAACCGCAUCAGUCUUCCACAAUCACAUUUUCCAAAGUUGCUUUUAUGAAAUUAGCAAACAAUAAUACUAUUAUUCAGUUAGUGCUGACAUCCCGUAGUUUAUUUAGACUGCUAUUGAGCAGAGCUUAGAACCUCUAUGUGUCUAAAUGAAGGAGUAUGAGUAUAUAUUAGCCAUAGUAGAGGCUAAAGUAGAUUGUGAGGUGGUUGCAUCUUGAAACAUAUAUCGUUAGAUUAUACAUACAAUGCAUAGGAAUAGAUUGCUAGCAAGAAAAACUUAUGUAGUUAUGAAGUUAUAGGGAACACAGUCCUAGUUCAUUAUUCUCAUUGAUUUUCUCAGCAUAAAAUGAUAUUUUGCUUACUUAUUACUUUAAUUUACAAACUCUUGAUUUGUUUUCUAAAUCUCCCCUUUAAAAAAUAAUAAAUUAAUAGUCUAAAUAACCACAUCGAUUUAUGUCCUAACCAUAUUCCUCUUGGGAUCGACCCCAACCUAGUUGGGUUCUAUAUUUGUUUGAUGACUGCUUUUUACUUUAUUGUGAGGUGUAAUUUGGGUGACAUCAAUCGAUGUGUCGUAGAAUUACAACACAAAAUAUGCUUAAAUAAAAACUCUUGCAAAUCCAAAGCUGUUUUUAUCUAGAUAUGAUAUGUUUAUUGAGUUUUGCUAGAAAAUAGGGUCGGAAGUUAUUGGAAUAACAAAAGAAGAAAAAAUGCACAAGUAAUGGAAGACUGCCUGUAUAAUGAGUCAUUGGGUUAUGAUACGGCUCAUCAUCCAGUUCGUUGUGAGAAUAAAAAGGUUAGUGGCUUCAAGGAUAAAAAGGUAGGUUGACAACUCGUAGGGCCAGGCUACGAGUCGUAGGGAGAGUUCUUUUGAGAAAAUUAGGCAAGGCAUUGAGAGAUGCCUACUUGAUGCUAAAGAUGAUGAGUGUUGGUGAUGACUCGUAGGGUAUGACUAUGACUCGUGUUGACUAAUUGUUCUGAGCAUUUGAGAAAAAGAUUUGAAACCUUGAAUAUGAGCGUAAAGAUCGAGUGAGUCAACCUAUGACUCAUUUAGAUACCCAAUAUGUCAUCAUUAGCAGAAGGAAUUUUAGGCUACAAUAAAGCUAAAAGGUUAACAAUGAGUCAUAGUCAGUCUAUAUGAAUCGUUGUCAGAGGCGUCGUCACUGCCGACUUAUGUAGUGCUAUUUUGUUUAGGAAAACUUUAAUGUGUCUAUUAAUACCCUUGUUUGAUCUAUUGUUUAGGGUUACGUACUUAUGUAUUAUUUUGAGGUACUAAGAUACAUUAUUGCUCUUCGAAUCAUUGAUAAUGUUUAUUUAGGGUUUCUAAUCAAUUUCAUAUUUCAACUUUUCAUCUUAUUCUUAUAAGUACAAAAUUAUGCUUUCAUCUAUGGAAUCUUCUUGUAUUCUUAUGAUCAUGAGUAUCUAAACCCCAUAACUAGGGUUGUAGGAACCAUGAUGAGUUAACAAAGUAGGGUUAAGUGUGAUGUCCUUCUAGAUUGGUGUUCUUGGUAUUUCCUUCGGUUUGAUUAUUAUUCUUAAUCGUUACAUAUGUCAGGAACUUGCCUGUAUUCUAAAUGUGCUCGGGAGAGUGGUAGAGAUUUAGAAAAGGAAAUAACAUUAGUAAUUUAAAGCUAUCAACCUUCAUCUAAUCAACUUAAUCCUAAAUUGAGAUAGUUAAUCUGAGAUCACAAAACAAGGGUUAGUAAUGCGAUGCUCUAAGUCCAAGAGGAGAUGAAUGAAAUUCGUCUAAUCCAAGGUUGAGAGAUAGUUAGGUGAUACGUAUCUUGUUAGAUGUGUAUGCAAAAAAUUGGGAUAGUUUGCUAAGUAUGAAUAACCUGUGGAGUUAAUAAGUCAUGAGGAACAUAAUCUUAGUACUUGUCUCAAAUUGAUCAUAAUAAAAUUAACCAACAAUUGUUGCUAUUACAACUCACUUUUAUAAAAAAAAAACUUCCAUUUACAUAAUUCCCAGUUACAUCAGCAAACUCUUGAUAGACUUUCAGCCUUUUUCUCAUUGGAUUGACCCAAACUAAGUUGGGUUCUAUUUUUAUUCGACAACCACUUUAUACUUCAUUGCAAGGUGUAAUUUGGGUGAAAUCAAAUUUUGGAACCAUUGCUAGAGAAUCCAAUUACAAAUUGAUAUAUUGAGUUUGUUGAAGAUAUUGGUUUCAUUUGUUGAUUUCUGCUCUCCUACUAUUUAUAGGGAACACGCUGGUAUAUGCCCAAUAUUCAGAGUCAAGGAAAUCCCCUAAUUCCAUUUGAUCUUAAGAUAACUCUAAGGUAAAUUUCAAAGUGAAAAGAGAAAAAAUUUAUGAUCAAGAAGCUUGGCAUAUAGGGGUUCAGGAUGACCCAACAAUACUGAAUCAUCCACUUUAGUAUGAUGUUUAGGAAAAUAUGGAUCAAGUUAUUGCUUAAUUAAUGUCUUAGGAAAUUUCUAGAAAAGUAAAUGCCCAAUGAGCAGCUAAAUAAUAAAGGGCUAGAUAGUAAGAGAAAGAUCGACUAGCUACAUUUGAAAGGAACAAGAUGAGAAAAAGUCAGAGAACAAUAGCCCAUGCAACACUAUCUUUAAGUUUAUAAUGAUCUAGAAGAUUUAGGGUAUGUUAAACCAGUUGAAACAGUUCAAUCAUUUCUCGAGAAUUGACCUAGGGGACUAAAUUUGAUAUUAUGAAUGAAAUGAUCCAGUUAUUGAACUUGAUGACGGUGUUUUUUGCUUUACCUACUGAUAAUGCAAGCAUUCACAUUAUGAACUUUAUGGGGAUCUGUACUUCAUACAACGGGGUGAGUCAGGAGGCAAUACGACUGAGAUUGUUGCCAUUCUCCCUGAUAGGAGAAGCUACAUUAUAGUUUGAAGAGCUUCUCUAUGGAUCUAUAACUACUUGGAACAAGUUGAAGACUCAAUUUUUGGACUGCUUUCCACCCUUCAAAAUAUUGUAGUUAAAAGAUGAGAUAUAUAACUUCCACCAUUUGCAUUUAGAGUAAUUAUAUGAGACAUGGUUGAAGUUCAAUAAGAAGCUUCAUAGCUUGCCAAAUUACAAAAUUAUCGAAAGAAACUUUUUUGAGAUCUUCUAUAAAGUGUUGAAUGCCAGUAUAACAAAAAUAGCUGACACGCUCAUUGGUGGAGCAUUCACGAGUAAAAAAGUGGUAGAAGGUUCUCGAUAUCUUUGAUCAUAUUACUAAAACCAAUUGAGGGUGGCAUACUUGGAAGGCAGAUAGGUUAGUUGGUACUUAUGCAAUUAGUUCCUCUAGUGAGUAGAGAGCAUUAGACGAGAUAGUAGCUCAAGAGGUAGCAUAAUUGAGGACAGAGAUUAGCCUAUUUAUGAAAUAAUUGUUAGAUAUUAGAUCAAAAAAGGUAAAUGUAGUGGGUUCAUGAGUCAAAGCUUAUAGACAUGAAGAGCAAACUCUUAUUAAGAAGCCAAGUAUCUUGAUAGACAAAUAAUGGGUUUUCAAGCCAAGUGCCAAAGGUCUAACCAAGAAAAUUGGAACUCUAGGUAAGGAAAUCAAGGUUGGAACUAUUAUAGAGACAGGUAUAUGGAUAAGAGUAGUGAGCGUGAUGGUGACUGGAUAAGGAAAGAUGACAAUAAGGAUAAGGGUAGCCUUUAUAUUCUAGAAGAGAACCAAGAUGCUGAGUCUAGGAGUUUGAGAAUGGAAACAUUGCUUGCAAAGCUUGUGAAGAGUUUAGAGAGCCAAAAAAGUUGCCAUAAGGAAAUUAAGGCAAAAAUUUUGGGGUUUAUCCAAAGGUUGAAUUGUAUGCAACCGCUAUUAAGUAACUUGAGAGAUAAUUUAGGUAGACGUCUAUCACCUUAAACUAGUAUCAACCAAGCACUCUUCCUCGCAGCACUAUUUAAAAUUCAAAAAUGACAAUCAUUGUCUAGCUAUCCAUGCCUGUGAUUGAUGACAUGAGGAAUGACCCUAUAGACAUUAAUGAUGCAGACAAAGAUGAAUAGAAAAAUUAAUGAUGAAUGAUGAGGCAUCUUAGAAGCCUAUAGUUGUAGAAAAAAAAGUUGACACUAUCAAAAAAGGGUAAGGAGUUCAUACCAGCAUUGAAGGCCAUUCCCCAACCUUCUUCACUUUUUUUCCCAAAGGUUGAAGAAGAAACCCAAAGAAGGAAAUUAUUAGAAGUUUACUUCAAUGCUAGAAGAGUUAUCUAUAAACAUCCCUCUUAUGAAAUCUCUAGAUCAAAAGUUGGGUUAUAUAAAGUUUAAGAUGGAUUUGGUGACCAAGAAGAGGAGGAUGAGUUUUGAGCAUGCUGGUAAUUUACACCACUUUAGCGCCAUUGCCUCUUGAUCUUUAGUUUUAAAAAAAAUCCUAAAGUAUUCACCAUCCCUUGUACUAUUGGGUCUUAUAAAUUUGCACAAGAUGUAUGUGAUCUACAAGCUAGCAUUAACUUGAUGUUGCUAGUCAUCUAUAAGUAGUUGGGAUUGGGGUUAUCUAAGCUGACCUCUAUGAGACUUUUGAUAGUGGAUCGCACUGUGAAGAAGUCAGUUGGUAUCUAGUGUGAUGUAUUGGUAAAUAUAUCCUCCUUCAUAUUUCCAACUAAUUUUGUAAUUCUUGAUUGUGAGUUUGACGUCGAAGUCCCUAUCCUAUUACGGAGGCCUUUACUAGGUAUGAGUGGGGCAUUGAUUAGCAUGGGUAUAGGAUAAAUGAAGUUCAAACUUAAUGAUGAAUAGGUCACAUUCAGUGUGUUUCAAUUAAUAAAGUAGCCAAAGGAUAUGAGUGUGACUUCUGUGAUUGAUAAUUGUAGAAGAAGAUAUAUUGUUCAUACCCAUUAAGACAAGGCUUGGUUCCGAGGCAUUCAUAGCUAUAAUGAUAAAUUUUGAUAGUGAAGGUAUUGAUGGAUAUGAUUAGGUGGUGAAUUCACUUGUGGGUGGAGGUUAAUACUCUUAUGUGCUAAAGAAGUUGGAAUUUGAUAUUACAAAUAGAGUGACCCUUCUGUCCAAACCAUCUAUUGAGGAGCCACCAGUUUUUGAAUUGAAAGCCCUUCCUUCUCAUUUGUGUUAUAUGUUCUUAGGGUCCAACAACACGUUGCCGGCUAUUAUUGCAGUAAAAUUAUUAGAGUGGCAGGUUGAGGCUUUAGUAUCGGUUUUGUAGAGGAUUAAGAGGGCUAUUGGCUAGACUAUUAUUGACAUAAUCAGAAUUCCAUCCAGAAUUUGCACUCACAAAAUUCAGCUUGAGCCAAAAUUAUACGUAGAAUUUAUCAUCAAUGUAUAUUAAAUCCACCUCUGUAAGAUGUUGGGAAGAAAGAAAUCAUCAAGUGGUUUUAUGCAGGUGUGGUUUAUCCAAGUGCUAACAGCAAAUGGGUGAGCCUGAUUCAGUAUGAUCCAAUGAAGGGUGGGAUCACUAUGGUUCCCAAUGAGAAGAAUGAUCUCAUUCUUAUGAGACUAGUCACUAGAUGGUGAGUAGGCAUGGAUUAUAAGAAGCUGAAUGUAUAGACCUAGAAGGAACACUUUCUAAUUUCAUUCAUGGAUCAGAUAUUAGACCGUAUUGUGGGUAGAGGAUAGUAUUUUUUUUCUUGAUGAUUAUUCAGGGUACAAUUAGAUUUCUUUUGCUCUUAAGGACCAAGAGAAAACCACUUUCACUUGUCCAUAUAGAAUUUUUUUAUUCAAAAAGAUGCCAUUUGGUCUUUGUAAUGCUCCCUCAACUCUUCAACGUUGUAUGAUUUUUAUUUUUCUGAUAUGGUAGAGGACGUUAUUGAGGUUUUCAUACAUGAUUUCUCAGUUGUGGGUGAUUCAUUUGAUGAUUGAUUGACUCAUUUGUCCAAUGCCUUAGAAGGAUAUAAAGAGUGAAAUUUAGUCCUAAUUUAGGAGAAGUGUCACUUUAUGGUCAAGGAAAGGAUACUGCUUGGGUACAAAAUUUUGAAGAAGGGAAUAGAGGUUGACAAGGCUAAGAUUGAGGUGAUUGAAAAAUUGUCUCCUUCAAUUUUUGUGAAGGGCAUUUGGAAAUUCUUAGGUCAUGUAGGUUUCUAUAGGUGAUUCAUCAAGGACUUAUAGAAAAUUACAAAUUCAUUAUGGAAAUUGUUAGAGAAGGUGGUGAAAUUUGUGUUUGAUAUGUUUUUCUUAAAGCUUUUCAGUGCUGAAAGAGAGGUUGACUUCAACUCCUUGUUGUGUCCCCUGAAUGGACUCAACUAUUUGAAGUGAUAUGUGAUGCUAGUGGCAUGUCCCUAGGAUAACUUUUAUGAUAAAGGCGAGAAAAGAUACUUCAUCCGAUCUACUAUGCCGCCAAAUCAUUAAAUCCCACACAACAUAACUACACAGUGACUGAAUAAUAAUUACUUGAAGUAGUGUUCACUUUUGAAAUAUUUUGGUCCUACUUGAUUGGAACUAAAGUCAUUGUGCACACUAAUCAUGGUGCUCUUAGGUACCUUAUGAAGAAGAAAUAUGCAAAACCGAGGUUGAUUUGAUGGGUACUUCUACUAUAGAAAUUUGAUUUCGAGGUUAAGAAUCAGAAGGGCACUGAAAAUCAAGUAGUAGACCAUUUGUCAUGCCUAGACAAGGAAGAGAUGAUAAAAUUAAGGGAUGAGAUUGAAAUUAAUGAUGCUUUUCUAGAUGAGCAAGUCUUAGCAGCAUCACUAGACAUAAUCCCUUAGUUUGUAGACUUUGACAAUUAUUUGGCAACUGAUCUCAUUCAAGAAGAUAAGUUGUUUUAGCAGUGCAAGCGAUUUAUGCAUGAGGUGAGAAAGUUCUUUUGGGAUAAGCCAUAAUUUUUUUGGAUGUGUACUAAUAGUGUAAUUCAGAGGUGUAUUCUUAAGAUUGAGAUGAUAAGUAUUUUAGAGAAAUGUCAUUCGUUCCUAGUUGGGGGUCGUUGGGGGUCAUCAUAGAGGUACUCACACUACCCACAAAAUCUUGCAAUGUUGUUACUAUUUUCCUACAAUCUAUAAGAGUACACAUGAUUAUGCCAAGUCCUAUGACCAAUUCCAAAGGCAGGGCAAUAUUUUAAGAAAGCAUGAGCUUUAUAUGAUACCUAUCCAUUGAGCUUGAAUUGCAUGAUGUUUGGGGUAUUUAUUUAAAGGGACUAUUUGUGAGUUCACAUGGAAUGAAAAAUAUCUUUGUGUUUGUCGAAUACACUUCAAAGUGGCUGGAAGUAGUUGUGCUUCCAAACAAUGAAGGUAAGAGUGUCACAGUAUUCUUAAAGAAGAAUAUUUUCUCUAGAUUUGGUACCCCCGAGCAAUCAUAAUGAUGGUGGAUCUCACUUCUGCAUUUAUCUCUUCAAAGACUUACUUGAGAAAUAUGAUGUGAAGCAUAAGGUUCCAACACCUUAAAAUCUACAAUAAGUGGGCAAGUUGAGGUCUCCAAUUGGGAGAUAAGGUCUAUUUUGGCAAAGACUGUGAAUGCAAAUAGGAAUGACUGGUCUAGAAAGCUAUGUGAUGCAUUAUGGUACUACCAGAUGGUAUAUAAGACUCCUAUUGGUGCAUAUCCAUAUCAAUUUGUGUAUGGCAAAGCAUGUCACUUUUCGGUUGAACUUGAGUAUAAGGCACUAUAGGCACUGAAAAAGUUAAAUUUUGAGUGGAGUGAGCACACUUAUUGUAACGAUUCGAGACUACCCCCUAAUCGUUACACGGUUUUCACGAUCCUGAAGGACCACAUUCUAACCUUCUACUGAUGUCUAUACCUGAGCUCUGCAUAAUAUAAUAUAAUAAAUAUGGAAAACUGGCAGAAAACUUGCCAUAAGUUUCAAAAUAUCCGAAAUACUCAAAACUGAAAACUGAAUACUAAUACAUCUGUCUGAAAAGCCUCUGAACUGUCUAAGUUGUAGAGUUGAUGGGACAUGUCCCCAAAUAACCCCGUCUACUGAAAAUAAAUAAAAUCUUAUGCGAUAGUAAAAUAAGUAUCAUCUUCGAAUAAAGAGGACUCACUGUUAUGUCUACUGCUGCUGACUGGGACUGAGCUGCUAAGGGUACUCUGGAUCUCGUGCCUCUGAACCUAUGGUGUAAAGUAAAACACCAUAGUGCAAAUGAGUUAGUAUAUGGGAACAUAUUGAGUAUAUAAGAUGAGGUAAGGCUAAAUGCAAGGGCUUAUGCAUGAACAAUUACUUAACUGAAUAAUCAUGAGAGUACUGAAUGAGAACAUAUGCAUAGAUGCACAAACCAUAACUGAAAUCAUCGUGACUCUGAAUAUUGAAACAUAGAUACUGCUUUACUGAUGUCUGAACUCAAUACUAAUACUGAGAUACUGAAUAACUAAAACUUCUGAUACUGAUAACUAAGUAUUGAAGUUGAGAUCAGUCUUGUCUGGUGAGUGAUCUCUAGAACUGAUGAUACUAAAGAUAAUUAACUGAAUCUACUCAUAUUAAUAACUGAGAUCUGAGCUUGCUACAAUUAAAUGAUGAUCCCUGAAUCUACUACCAAUGAUAAGAAAUGAUUAUGUUUGAGAUCAGACCUAUCUAAUAGAAGAUCUUUGAAUUUGAUAAUGAGAAUACUCAACUGAAUCUGAGACUGAGAUCAGGCCUAUCUAACGGGUGAUCUCUGGAUCUGAUAAUACUGAUACUAAUUAUCUUUAUGAGAGACCAGGCCUAUCUAGCGAGUGGUCCAUGAAUCUAUGGAACUAUCUGAGUUCCUUACGGAGAUGGGUGACUAUAUCUGAUAGUCUUAAUUUCUGAGUUCUACUCUGAAGACUGAUACUGAAACUACAACUGUGGGAGUUCUCACUUAACUGACCUGCCCCAAAUCUGAACUGGUGGGGUCCAACCUAUAACUCUAGCUGGAAGGGUGUCAAUACCAUGCCAUGGGUAAAGAGCUCUACUCUGGUCAAGCCUCUCUAACGGGUGACCCUAAACAAGAAGUCAAGCCUUAAUCCAAUAGGUGACUCGCAGUUCUAGAGUUCAAGGAUUUCUACUAAUGACUCUGCCUCUCUAAUGAGACGGCUGUAAUCCCUGCACUCGCUCGGUUCUAGCUCCUACUCUGAACUAAAGGACUCUAAACUGAUUCUUAACUGAACUUAAACUGAGUUGAACUGUUACUGAUCAAAUUUCUCAAAUGAUCUGACUGAGUUAAGCUGAGUUAACUUAGUUCCAUUAUCUGAUGGAAUACUACUGAAUCUCUGAAUAGAUUACUUGAAUGCUACUGAGGUCUGAACUGAACACUUGAAUACUACUAGAUCUGAGCUGAGUACUGAACUGAGGCUAGAAUACUAACGAUACUGAGAUUACUGAGAUUUCUUAAAUUAUUGAGAUUACUUAAGUUCUGUAAUUGUUUGAGAGUUCUGAGUUCUAUAACUCACUGAGUUUUGAGAAUCGUGGCUUGACUAAGAUUAUCGUGAAAACUAACACUGGCUCUAGACUGCAGCUAAUUUGUCGGGUACAAAUACCCCCAGGACUCGGUGACAUAAAAGUAAAACAUAACCAUUCUUGAAUAAUCAUAACCAUGGGCAUUAAUUAACUAUCACAAUCACGAAAGCAUCUCUUCAAGCAUUUAGAAAACCACAAAUAAGUGAUAAUAUAGGGACACAUGCUAUUAGCUCAUAGUCCAUUCAACAAGAUCUUGCAUCAAACAUCUAGAAUGCAUUAAAGAAAACAUAAUUGGGGAAUUUUGUGCUAUCAUGUCACAAUUCAUUCACUAAGGAUUUUCAACAAACACUUGGCAUACAUGAGCUUGCACACAAUUGGGGAUUUCUGGUCAACCUGCUAUAAUGGCUCUAAUUCCUUCACAUAAGCAUUUUAUCAAACAUAUGGGGAGAAUGUUUUGAUUAUUCAACAAUUUCUAUACUCAAUUGACAUAAACACAUCACUUAACAAACAACUUGAAGAGGAUUUAACAGGAAUAUCACAUACUAGGGCCAAAGCUUGAAAUCUUGUAAACAAAUCAUGAAUUAAAACUCAAUACUAACAUGAACUUCAAUUUCAAUUCACAUGAAUCAUGAAAAAUCAUAAACAUAAGAUCUUUGAAUUUAGAAAAAUGAUUCUUGAACUUCUUGGGUAGAAGAGACCCAAGAAUCAACAUCUGCAUACCUUAGGAAACGCUUUCUUGAAGGCUCUUGGAGAGAUUCUUGAUUUUUUUAGGAAGGGUUUGAAUCUUUUUCUUAGGUUUUUAAUAUUGAAAUAAACCCUAAUUUUGAUGUUAUGGAUGAAUGAAGAGUUAUGUGCUUUGAUUUGACAUGAUUGGAUGUUAAAUAGGGUGGAAAAAAACCCAAAAAUCCCUUUAAAACGGCAUUUCAACUCUAUUUCGGACAAAACUGAAGGUCUGAGUGACGGACCAUCACUCUGGUGACUGACCGUCACUCCAACCAUCAUUUUUGGGCCAUAAAAUGGCCUUACUACUUCAGUUGUGACGGCCAAAGUGACGAUCCAUCGCUGACUUGAUGGUCCGCCAGCUUGCCCGUCGCUCUUGGGCAGCUAUGACAACUCUUAGUAAAACAGCCAUAACUUUUUACUCCGAUGCCAGAUUUUGGCAAAAUUGGUAUAGUUGAAAAGAUAAUUCAAUUAUAUUUCUCUUGGUUUGUCAUGAGAUCAAAAAUUAUUUUUAUAAUGGGAGAUAUGCUCAUUUGAAGUUGACUAUGGCAAUGUCCUUCUCAAGAAUUCAAUCGGUAAGGGAUGUUUUGAUUCGUCUAAUAGCGAGGACUUAUUUAUGGCAUUAAUAUAUAUCAAACAUGAUCAUAAAUCUACCAAAUUUCUAAGAUUUAUUCCUCAUAAUCUUGAAGCAUGGUUCUACUAUCAGUUGGGAUUCUUGGGGUAUUACACUUAUGAUUUGAAAAGAUGAAUGAGAUAGAUGAGUUUUGGCUCCAUACUUAUGAGAGUUCAGACUUAUACAAGGAAAAGAUGAAAUUGUAACAUGAUAGAAGAAUUAAAAAGAGGGAAUUCCAACCUAGUAAUUUGAUUUUGAUGUAAAAUUCAAGACUUCGCUUGUUUCCUGGAAAGUUGAAGUCUAGAUGGUUCGGUCCAUUCACCGUGGUGAGAGUAUUUAUUUCCACAUAGUGAAAUUGAGAUAUAACAAGAUGGUGAUGUCCCAUUCAAGGUGAACAAACAUUAUGUUAAGAAUUAUAUGGGAAACACAAAAGAUUUUAAGUUAUGUGGGGAUAUAAGCCUUGAUGAUGUUUGAGUAGUAAAAGGAGCUGAGUCAUGCUACGACGUUAAAUCAUAUGCUUCAUGGGAGGCAAUUCAUGGGCCAGUUGAUGAAGUCUGAGUACUCAACUUGGCCAUAUUGUGUUGUGACAUUAAAUUAAGUGCUUCUUGGGAGGAAAUUCAUGUUUUGUACUUAAUUAAGUUGAAGGGUAACAUGUGUGUUCAGAUGUGCAGAGCUACACUAUGUAAGAAAAAAACAUAGGAAGUUUCUGGUUUCAAGAUCAAACGAGUGACACUAUGACUCGUAAUUCCACUCAGUGACAAGUGACCAGACCCGUUGGUAGGAGGAAAAGAUAAUCAGUUCAUGGAAAGUCAUUGGAGUCCCUACAAAUCUCAGAACGAUUCAUAGUCACUGACAACAACUCGUCACCUUGAGUCGUAAAGACUAGGGACCCAGGUAAGUAUAUUAGCACUAGAGGGAGGUGUUAAUAACAAGUAGUAAAUGGCCACAAUUCUUUUUUUGAACGUAUGUAACUCCCUCUAUCUCCCACAACAGGCUCUCCCACUUAAAAUACACUUAUAUCCUUAUUAAAUCAGCCCAUCUAGAAUCAAAACUAUUUCUAAAUCUCCCAUUAUCUAAAGAACAUAGUUAAGUAAAAGUGAAGCAUCCAAGCAUCAUUUGUUGAUUUGAAGUAAGUACUCAAAAAAUUCCUUCUAAUUUCUCGUUGUGCUUGAUAUUUUUGUGUAUUUUUUCUUUGGAUAAUUUGCUUGAACUUGACUAGGUUUUUGGGUUAAUCAUAUAAUAUAUAAAGCAAAGUUGAUUUUCAUGCAUAAUAGGAGUAGUUAUAAGACGGAGAUGAUUGAAAGUAUGGGUAGAUAACGCUCAUCAUACACGUCAAUUUAGUGCAAGGCGGUCGUCGUUAAUAUAUUUACCCAACUUUGGAGUCGGGUUCAAAUCCAUAGGGAACAAUGUGAGUGGCGAUUAAACUCAUUUGAAACUAAAGCUACAAGUUAAAUUCAAAUAACUGGUACGAAAAGACAAAAUGAGGAUUUUUAAUGAUUGAACAGAAGUUAUUAACACUUCAAUUUUCCUUAGAACUCAAAUCUUAAACUACAAUACUUCAAAUCAAUGAUAUAGAGAAACUAGAGUUGUGAUCACUAUGAUUAGUAAUCCUCCAUUGAAUAACAGUUGUAGUAUUGGAUUCUCGUGACUUAUGGGAAACACCAAAUUAUCAGUUUUGACAGUCCAUCUAAGUGUUUCUCAACCAACCUAGAUGUUGAACUCCCUAAUUCUCUUGAACUUAGGAAAUCAUUCUAUUCAUACUGAUUUUAUCUCGAGUUGAUCAAUCUUGUUACAGCAUUAAUCAUUAGAUGAGAAUUUAACCUUCCCAAAUCCUCGUUGAUAAUUCACUUCUUACUAGGGUUGAUUUCUUAUCUCAAGCAAAUCAACAGUAAGCAAGGCCUAUUAUUUGCAACCUAUAGAAACUAAUUAAUACAAAAGAAUUAUGAAGAUGUUCCUACAAUCACUCGAACCCUAACCAAUUAUUAAAUCCAUAGAGGAAUAAUCAUAGAUCCCACAACUCUAGUUGUGGGUUUUAGUUCCACAUGAGAAAGAAAGAGAUAGCAAUAAUUAUAUUCAUCAUUCAAAGUAAUUAAACUUACAAAAGAUGAAGUAUGAAGUUGAUUCUCUUCCAAGUUCAAGAGAAAAUUCCCACAACCAAAUCAAAGAGUUGAAAAUUAAAUUCUAAGUUCAGAGCCCCCAAAGAGAGGUGAACUCCUUUGGAAUAAGUUUUAUGCCCCAGAUAUGUUUAGCCUCCCCAAUGAAACCCUAGAAGCUUCUAUUUAUAUCCAUAACUUAAGAAAAAUCUGAAAUUAAAAAUUUAGAAUUUUUCUUUUAGGUGACAACAUGUCUGACGGCUUAUCAGAGUUCUGAUAGCUUUUCAGAACAUGUCGUCAGGCAUGCUUCAAAUUUUUGCCUUCUGCUUAUGUGUGACGACAUUCUUGACGGCUUAUCAGACACCUGACGACUUAUCAUAGACAUCAUCACAUCUUCACUUCAUUUUCUCAAGCACUGCCCAAGCCUGACGACGAGCCUAAUGGCUUAUCACAACUCUGACGGCCUAUCACAGAUUGUCGUCACUUCUUCCAGUUGAAUCUCAUUCUCUGUCUAAGGCUAAAGCUGAGCCUGAUAACUUAUCAGGGAGUUGACGAUUUAUGAAACAAGUCAUCAAGUACACUUCUAUUCUUAUUUUGCUCAAAACUUAACUCUUUUACUUCCAUUAUUGCCGGUUCUCUUGCAUCUUAACUUCCACUGCAAAAUCAAAGAUAAAACAAUUAAAAAUGAUAAAAGUUGCUUAAGACUUUACAAUUAUUCUCAGUUAAAAGCCUCAAAUGUGUUAGCAUCUGCUCACACAUCAACACCCUCAACUUAAAACAAUUGUUUGUCUUCAAGCAACUAAAAUACAACCAAGAGGAUACAAAGUACAUUUGGCAGUCAAUAAUCAAUAUUAUCUCAAAACCAUCUUUACCUUCUCCAAGGUCAAUUAAUUCUAAAUCAACUGUGUAUGCUACUGAAGAACAACAAUGGGACACACAAGAAUCAAGAUAUGGCAUCAAUUCAGCAACAACAACCAUGUAUGUAUCAAGCUUACACUAUCCAAACAAGUUAGCAACUAACAACGUAACCAGUGUGCCCUCACUACAAAAAACUCCCUCCUCACUCAUGUCUAAACUCAAGCAUGUCAAUGCGGGGACGGUCAAGAGACACUCACUCACAGAAAGAACUUCCAGCCAAUAUAUGCCAAAUACCAUAAGCUUGCCCUUAUUUUCAUUACCAAGGUUUUCAUACAUGUAAGCUAGGAUGAGUAUAGGUCUUUUUCUUCGACUUGUAACGUAGGAUAAGGGCUGGUAUGAUACUCAAUGAUAUUUAAAAUGACUAACCCUCCUUGGCACUACACUAUUUUCUAGGGUCUCACUUAUUAACCUUUUUCUAUUUUUCUCUUUUAUUGAUCACACAUAUUCAGGAUGGGUGCGGUUUUUUUGACAAUCAUUUCUUUUUUUUCACAACUUUUCUUUUCUUAUUUUUUUUCCAUCAUACCCAGCUUUUUAUUCUUUUCUUUUAUUCUAAUUUUCUUUAUACUCAUUUUACAUCACGCACCCCUAUGGUAGCCACCCUUAACUUAGGUUAUUUACCUAAGUCAAAGUGCAUAAUGUCCAAGGAGGACCAGGGCUAAAACAGGUUCAUUGUGAUACAAAUAGGAAGGUGAUAAGUAUAAUAAAAAAAAUAGCCAUUCAGGCUCAAAAUCAGGAUCAAAGGAUAUUAUUUACACACAGAAGGCCAUUUAGGCUAAAAGUGGACUAAUAUCAACAACAACCUAUGAUCCUUUCCUAGCCGCUACCCUACAAUCAAGGCAAGACCAACCGGGUAAGUUCUGGAUUUAACAAACAAUGGGAACUAGGUAGUAUCUCACACACACAUGGCACAAAGGUACAUCACAAGCUACUACCCAUUCGGUUCAUGCAAUUAUUUAGUAAUGGUUAUCAUGUCACUAGUACUAAAGCCAUAACAAGAUGCACAGUGGUCACACAUAAAUGCAUAUCACACAGUUAUAAAAUUGACCAAUGGAGAGGUGUUCAAAAUCAACAAAAACAUGUUAACUGCCUAAGGUACUUGUAUUUCUCCUAGUAAACUACAAUAUUUUACAACAAAUCACAAUACACCUAAACAUUCCGGCUCUACUAAAAACAAGACUCCGGAGGGAAAAGGCACAGCAACAAAAACCCCAAGAGAAUAUCAACACCCAUAAGUAGCCCCACCCUCAACUUAAAAUCAUGCAAUGUCCCCAAUGCGUCAAACCAAAACAAGAGAGUUAGAAACAUGUCUGUGGCACCAUGGGUGCGAAGAUCUGAUGUCAAUCACAUAAUAUGAAUACAAACAACAAAAUACCUUAGGUUGCCUCCCAAGAAACGCCUAAUUUAGUGUCGCGGCAUGACCCAACUCAGUUUUUUUGCUACAAAAAUUAAAAAAUCGAGUAAUGGAUUGAGCAUGGUAAACCACCUGGCCUUAAAGUGAGGUGUGUUUUUAUGUUGCUUGUCUAAUUUAAAAUCAAGAAUAUAGGAUUCUUGUUCCUCAUCUUCACACUUUUCUACUAUUUUAAAUGAUUCCACAGACAAGAUAUCAUCUAAACAUAAUGUAUAAAAGUGCUUUGAAUGAGGCCCAAUCAAUCCUACUUCAAAAUUUACACUAUCUACUACACACUCACUUUUAUUUACCUUCUCGACAUCUUCACUUCGAAUUAGGCUAGAGUCUUUAUUAGAGAUUUUCUUUGUUUCUUCUUUUGCCUCUAGCACCAUGUCCUCAAUCUUGGCAUCAUCUCUCAUAGUUGGUUAGGUUGGUUGGGAAAUCACUGAGGGUUGCUCAACAUCAAACUCAACAUCAAUAUAGGGUUUUUGCUCCUCAUCUUUACACUCUUCCAUUAUUUUAAAUGAUUCCACAGUAAAUAUAAUAUAGAAGAAUGCUUUGAAUGAUUGACCUCUAUAUCCAUAUCCUCAUGAAUGAUUGGCUUCAUGUCUUGACACAUAUCAUAUAUGAUAUCAUACGUUUCUUUCUGGAGAUACAACAUUCGUUGAAACAUAGCUUCAAUGCCACUCUUCCCGGUGCUUUGUUCUUUAUUUUCUUGACCAUAAGACCUAUCAAACUCAUAAAAAGAACUAGAAUUUAGGUUAGCGCAAUAGGGGGAGGGGGCAUUUGGGCAAUCACUCUAAUUUCCAUCUUCAUCACCACAUAAAGAACAAUCACACUCCCUGUAGGAUGGUGAUGGUGCACACAUCUCUCUCUGGGGAGCAUAUCUACAAUCUAGACAAAAGUAAGGUCCAUCACAAUAUGGACAUGGAUCAUCAAGAUAAGAUUUCCAACCACCAUGCUCAUGUUCAUUCCAUGAUGCCAUAGUAAUAAGUAAACUAAAAUAAAAAUCUACCUAAUACAACAAAUAAAAGAAAACUAAAAACAAAUGUUUACAAGUUUGAAUUCAAGUAAGUAGGCUAAAAUUCAAAACCAACUCAAUACGCCAAAUUGUUACCCGACAACGGCGCCAUUUUUGAUAACGCUCAACUUAUAUAUCAAUUUAGUGCAAGGCAGUCGUCGUCAAUAUAUUUACCAAACUUUAGAGUCGGGGUCGAAUUCACAGGGAAUAAUAUGAGUGGCUAUUAAACUCAUUUGAAACUAAAGCUACAAGUUAAAUUCAAACAACCGGCACAAAAAGACAAAAUGGGAGGUUUUUAAUAAUUGAACAAAAGUUAUUAACACUUCAAUUCACCUUAGAACUCAAAUCUGAAACUGCAAUAUUUCAAAUCAAUGAUAUAGAGAAACUAGAGUUGUGAUCACUAUGAUUAGUAAUCCUCUAUUGAAUAACAGUUGUAGUAUUGGAUUCUCGUGACUUAUGGGAAACACCAAAUUAUCAGUUUUGACAGUCCAUCUAAGUGUUUCUCAACCUACCUAGAUGUUGAACUCCCUAAUUCUCUUGAACUUAGGAGAGCAUUCUAUUCAUACUUAUUUUAUCUUGAGUUGAUCAAUCUUGUUACAGCAUUAAUCGUUAGAUGAGAACUUAACCUUCCCAAAUCCUCGUUGAUAAUGCACUUCUUACUAGGGUUGAUUUCUUAUCUCAAGCAAAUCAACAGUAAGUGCAACCAAUAGAAAAUAAUUAAUAUAAAAGAAUUAUCAAGAUGUUCCCACAAUCACUCAAACCCUAACCAAAUAUUAAAUCCAUGGAGGAAUAACCAUAGAUCCCAUAACCCUAGUUGUGGGUUUUAGUUCCACAUGAGAAAGAAAGAGAUAACAACAAUUAUAUUCAUCAUUCAAAGUAAUUAAACUUACAAAAGAUGAAGUAUGAAGUUGAUUUUCUUCCAAGUUUAAGAGAAAAUUCCCAUAAUCAAAGCAAAGAGUUGAAAAUUAAAUUCUAAGUUCAGAGCCCCCAAAGAGAGGUGAACUCCCUUGGAAUAAGUUUUCUACCCCCCGAUAGGUUCAUUCUCCCCAAUGAAACCCUAGAAGCUGUUAUUUAUAUCUGUAACUUAAGAAAAAUCCAAAAUUAAAAGUUUAGAAUUUUUGUUUUAGGUGAUGACAUGUCUGAUGGCUUAUUAGAGUUCUGAUAGCUUAUCAGAACAUGUUGUCAGGAAUGCUUUAAAUUUUUGCCUUCUGCUUAUGUGUGACGACAUUCUUGAUAGCUUAUUAGACACCUGACGACUUAUCACAGAUGUCGUGACAUCUUCACUUUAAUUUCUCAAGCACUUCCCAAGCCUGACGACGAGCCUGAUGGCUUAUCACAACUUUGACGGCCUAUCACAGGUUGUCGUCACUUCUUCCAGCUGAAUCUUAUUCUCUGUCUAAGGCUGACACUGAGUCUGAUAACUUAUCAGGGAGUUGACAACUUAUUAGAAAAGUCAUCAACUAUACUUCCAUUCUUAUUUUGCUUAAAAUUCAACUUUUUUACUUCCAUUAUUGCUGGUUCUAUUGCAUCUUAACUUCCACUACAAAAUCAAAGAUAAAACAAUCAAAAACAACAAAAGUUGCUUAAGACUUUGCAAUUAUUCUCAAUUAAAAGCCUCAAAUGUGUUAGCAUCUACUCACACAUCAGUUAUAUGUUAACUGCCUAAGGGGAAGCCUGAGUACCCUCAGGAAAUAGUAUGAUUAAGCAAAGACAAUUUGAUAACCCAUUUUGAUAGUUACUACGAGAUAUUCUAUGAAUUUUUGACAUACGUGAUAAGUCAUCUUAUGACUCGUAGUGACUAGCAACAUGGGUGGUCAUCAAUAUUCAUUUACUAGUGUCUCUAUGAGUGACCCUACGAGUCUUCAUCAUACCUUACAACUCAUCUCUUGACUCAUAGUGAUUGAGAAUAAGUUAAAAAUUUAAUAUUUAUUUACUGGUCACCUACAAGUUACCUAACAAAUCAUCAUGUCACUUAAUAAAUCAAAGGGUGAACCCAUAGUGAGUACACCUGCUAGCAGGGACUUCUAUGAUGGUUUACCCUACAAGUUUUCUAGUGACCUAACGACUCAUAGGGUCACCAGUAAAAGUUUCCCAGCGCACCCUCACACCCUACGACUAUAACAGCGACUCAUAGACGUAUGACUACAAGUCGUACCCUAAUUCAUAGGGAUGUAAUGCACUUUUAAUUUUUAGUUUUUGUUUUUUUUUCCUUACUCUUUCUAGUGUAAAUAAUUAUAUUUCCAUCAUAGGCAUGAUGGAACCAAAGAAUGAUACCACUAAGGGGGCCAGGAAAACUCCCAUGAAAUAGGCUCAGGCCACUUAUCAACAGAGAGGCAAUCCAUCUAACGAAGAACAUGAGUCUAGUGGAUCCAUUGAGGAAUACCCCAUAUUAGGAUUGAUUGAUUAAUGAAGUAGCUUACCUCAAUACUGGAAGUCUAAGACCCAAAUAAAUAUUGUAAGAUAAUCACCACAUAUUUUUCUCCCCAGUUUAAAGAGGGAAAAAAGUUUAGGUCUUUCUUGGAUAAUAAAGAAAAGAGGGAGAAAAGUGCCUCAAAAAGUAGAGAUAAUGGUGUAUUUGGCCACAAAUCUGGAUAUCAAGAAUUAGAAUCUAGUUCCAAAUAAGCUGAGGGUAACGAGCAAAAAGCUAUAAGUGAUAGUGCCCUAGUUGAGAUCCCGCUUUCUUCUCAAGACCAGCCUGGGUUACAAACUGAGGCUGCCCCUAUGCUAGUUGUUAAUUGAUGGGGGUACCCAGGUAUGCAAGAGUUAUAUGAGCAAUACUAUACCAUUAUCCCAAAAUAGGAAAACAAAAGACAAUAUUCUAUCUGGAGCCAAAAAAUUUUAUUGGAGGCAUAUUGAAGAUGCUAGAGUUUGAGGCCUUAUUCAAAAAGUAUCAUUUCUAAUGAAUGACUCCAGCAGGUAUAUUUUGUCCCUACUUUGGAAGCUUUAUGCUACCUACUAGAUGUAGCUAAUGCAGAUACAUCUUCAAGGUUUUGCAUGGAAGGGUGGUGAACCAUUGCAUUCAUUAAUGAUUUGAGGAAUUCAGCUGAGUCUCAAGACAGACAAUCUCCCAAUUCUUGCAUGGUGUUAUGUUUGAGCUUCCCACCAACACUUCAAAAAUUGAUCACCAAAUUAAAGAUAUAAAAAUGGUUAAAACUAAGAAAAUUGGGAUGGAAGAUAGACUAAUACAUCUAAGGUAGAUUGUAUGUACCUGCACAAGAGAAUGCACCAUGGGUUAUGGGGUCGUCAUCAUAGAUUACUAAGGGUUGUCUUAACUGUACAGCAAAAUCUUGGUGGACACUAGUUUGCCACUGAUUGAGUUUGAUAACUGGAGACAUCCUUCUGAGCCCCAACAAUGUUGCACUGGUAGAAGGUAUUAUAGAGGCCUAUGAUAUUGGCAUAGCUAAGAUUAUUGCUUGGGAUAUUCAUGAUAGGGUUUUAGCACCGGCACAAGUUUAGCCUUCCCAUGUCUGUUGAUGAGAUAUGCUUAGAUGAUAGGGAACCUAUGUUACUAAAUGUGGUUAACUUUGUGAUGGUCCAUUGGACCACUAAUUUUGGGAUCGAUUCGAGAUCAAGCUAACCAAAUUUCAAAGCCAAGGUGAGUGCAAUAUUACUUCAUGGAGAAUUUUAAUUUAGAAUACAUAGGGAUAUUGAUACUUUAGGUUUUACAGACCUUGGGGACACACAGGUUGAAAUUGCACGACCCGAGCUAUAGGUUUUUAUGGAUGUUAUGGGUUCCACAAAUUCUAAGUCACCACAACACCAACUCCACCUACCUUGAGACCAUCUACACCACUCUCAUCUGAUGGUGGAUAUGUUUUUGUCUCUCAAGAUCUUUUGAGUGAUGCACUAAAAUGCUUAGUCACCCACGAGAAAAAAGUGACAAAUAUUGUUGAAGGAGUGCAAUAAUUGGUGAAUAAGAAGAUUAAGGAUGACAUAUGUGGUAUGAAAAUGAGGUUUGAUAGCUUUGAGCGAUCAAGAAUCUUGAAGGGAUCCAUGAGAAGUUGGCUGUAUUACGGGCUGCCAUAGAGGAUAUAGCCACAAGGCCAGAUCCAAUUGAGGAUUGCCUAACAUUUGAGGUACGAAAGGUAAAGUUUUUGAAGAAGGUGAUGAAAGAGCAAUUAAAAAGAGAAAAAUGAGAUGUGAGAGAUAAGAGAUGAGAAAAGUCAUUACUACAAGCCAUAGAUGUCACAAGACCAGUUGAGUGAGAUUCAUGAGAUAGUACCGAGGGUUGGUAGCUCCCAAAUGGGUGAUACUAUGGCUGCAACUGCUGCUAAUAUGAGUGGGGGUUCAAUAUUGACCCCCAAGAUUACUCCACCAGUAAGUGCACUGGACACAACCAGUGACCAUGUUAAUUUGAGCACCUCGGCCACCGCUUGGGCCACUAUUACUGAAAAUAGCGCUCAAUCUGAGGCCCUAAUUGAGGAGUAUUUAUGAUUCAGUUCCUUGUACACCAUAAAUAUGUCUUCACUCCCAUGUUUUAGUUUUUUCAUAUAUAUACUCUAAGGACAAUGCAUCAUCUUAGACUCAAGGGUGGGGGUAUACCACAAUUGAGGAUUUUUGUUAACGUGUUUCUUUUACCUUGACUGUACUAUCAUAGUUACCGACAUAUUUAGAUGUCCUUACUUUUUAUUAUUUUGUUUUUUUUUGUUUGUUUUACUUAGAGUAAUUUAAAAGAACUUGGUGCAGUCUAAUUUAAAUAAGCAUGCUUACCUGUUUUAUCUUUAAUUUUAAAAUAAUACCCCUUCAAAAAUCUUAUUUAUGAUGUAGUGUUUGAAUGUAUUAGGUUGUAACCAAUGUAGUAUCUAGACAUGGUAUUAGAAAUUAUAAUAGUAUAUCCUGGCUAAUCUAACAUGAAUUGAAUAGGAAGCAAUUUAGACAAAGCCUUGAGUGAGAAAGCUAUGUUACCUACUCGUUGUGUGUUGUGCCAUCUAGACCUUAUCCAAUUUGUCUUGUUAUAAGCUAUAGGAUAGAAGGUUAGGAAAUGAUCGUAGGUCUUAUUUGAAUUAGUCAACGUUAGCCUAAAGAAUCAACCAAAUGAAGAAAGUAUCCUUUGAUCCCAAAAUUUAAGCCUUAAAGUGACCAAUUUUCAUUAACCCAUUCACCUUCCCAUUUAAAAUACAAUGAACCUAUUUUGGCCCUAGUCCCUCAUUAGACACUGUGUAUCUCACUCAGGCAAAUGUUCUAAAUUAGGGUUAUUAUAUGGGUGCUAACUGAAUGCGGGUAUGACGAAGAAAGUUUAGAAAAAAAGGGAAAAAUAUUUGAGUGUGGCAUAAGCAAAUGAAAAGAUGAAAAUAAAUAAAUAAAGGAAAAGUUGAUCUAAAAAUAAACCAAACACAAAUUUCAAAAAGGAAAUAAAAUAAAGAAAAAGGAAGAAAAGGAAAAGAAAAUAAGAAAGUGGAGGCAAGAGUAGUGUAGUGCCAAGAAGGAUUAAGUCAUUGUACCUAAAUAAAUACUUUUAUUUGAUCUCUUAUUUAGGGUUAUGAACUUAUACAUUAUUUUGAGGUUCUAAGAUACAUUAUUGCUCUUGGAAUCAUUGAUAUUGGUUUUUCUUAAGGUUUUUAAUCAAUUUUAGAGUUCAAUUUUUCUUCUAUUCUUGUAAGUAUAAAAUUAUGCUUUCAAUUAUGGAAUAUCUUGUGUGCUUAUGAUCAUGAGUAUCUAAACCUCAUAACUAGGGUUGUGGGAACUAUGAUGAAUUAAUGAAGAAGUCAAUCUAGAUCGGUGUUCUUGCAUGUAGUAAUAUUUCCUUCGAUUUGAUUACUUUUUUUACGAUUGAAAAUGUCAAUAACUCGCAUGUAUUCUAAAAUUUAUCGAUAAAAAAGUAGAUAUUGGAAAAAAUAAAUAACAACAGUAAUUUGAAGCAACCGACCUUUAGCUAAUUAAUUUGAGCCUCAACCGAGAUUGUUAACCUGAUAUCACAAAAUAAGGAUUAGUAAUGUGAAGCUCUAAGUAUGAGAAAAGAUGAGUAAAAUUCAUCCAAACCAAGGUUGAGAGAUGUUUAGGUGAUACAUAUCUUAUUAGAUUUUUCUUGCAAGACAUCGAGAUAGUCUACUAAGCACGAAUAGCCUAUGGAGUUAUAACUCAUAGGGAAUACAAUCUUAAUAUGCGUCUCAUAUCGAUCAUAAUUCAAGUAACUAGAAUCUAAUACUAUUACAACUUAUGUUUACAAAAAAACUCUUUUAUUUAUAUAAUUCUCAAUUACAUCAGCAAACUCUUGAUAGAAUUUUGGCUUAUUUCUUGUGAGAUCAACCCCAAUCGAGUUGGAUUCUAUAUUUGUUCAAUGAUCGCUUUACACUUUAUUAUGAGGUGUAAUUUUGGUGACAUCAUGUCAUUGAGGGCUGAUCUUUAUAGACUAUGUGCAUAGUUUCACACCCUACAACCCUUAUUCGCUCUUGAUAAGGCAGAGAUUGCUAUACCUCUGGAUCAGUACUUUCUUUUGCUGAUUUUGGUGGACAUUCGCAUAUGGUUGAUGAGGUUAGAAUUGACUUUAGUAAGGGGCUCACCUAAGCCCAAUAGGCUAAUAUUGAAAAGAAACAAUCUGAAGAUAAUGAGCAUGCUAAGAUGGUUGGGGCUAGCUUUAGAUCCUAACCUGCUGAUUAAGUGCCUUUUGUUUUUUACACCAGUUAUAGGAGCCCAGUCUGACGAGGCUCCUAGAGUUAUUGUACCACUAUCUACGGAUGUGGACCUAAGCACUUAGUACACCACAAGUAGUUUUUACCCUCCUUUUCUCUCUCUUUACUUCUGCAUUGGGACAAUGUAAUGCUAUUUAAUAGGGAUGGAACAUUCUUAUUUUAUAUUUGAUGGUCUAUACUUAUUUGAUCUGAUAGAUUGUAUUAAUAUACUUUAUUUAUCAUUUGAUAGUGAUUUAGAUUUCACCCUCAUAGAGCUUAUUUAUUUAUGUUGACAUUUAUGUGGAUUUGGCCCUUGUUAGGUAUAUUGGUGAUAAUAUCGGAUAUUGCCCUCCUCAAUAUUAUUAUAUGCUCUUGAUUAUGAUUCGAUACCCAAUUGUGCUUUUCUUGGUGUUGAUUUAUGUUUUGGGUGAUGCCUUUAAACAUUUUGUGCAUUGUUCUUUUAUUCUUUUGUAAAUACGUGCCUAAUAAACUUCAAGGGUUUUCUUCAAAACUAGGUUCUUUCCCACAGAGCAAAUUUUGUUUUCUUUUACUUUUAUUUCUUAUCUUUACUUUGGUCUAUUUUCUUUGUCAAACCGAGUGGUAUUUCAGCCGUGAUAGAUGAUGAGGUGACAUUCUUAGAUGAAUACCUAAUACCUAAUAUUUUGAGUCUAGAUUCAAGUUGGAGUCAGCAAAAGUUUGAAAAAUUUUCUCAAACGUCAUUAGCAAGCAUUUUAAUGAUUUUGAAAAAAUGAAAAAUGUAGUUUUCUUUUUGAAACAAGCAAGGAGUUUUUUGAGCUUUCUCUUGAGUUGAGACUAUUAAAUUCAAUUUAUGGCUCUUCCUUUACAAGGAUGAGACUUUGAUCGGAGUAACUUAUUAAGUCUAUUUGUACAAAUUGGUGGGGGGACUAGUUUUCCACUUUAUGAGUAUGAUGCCUUGUAUAGUGAGGUGUUUGACUAAUUCUAAUAUAUACGUGUAUUCUAGGAUUAGCAACACGUAUGUAAUGACCUUGUAGGUUAUUUCCUCAAUUUACAUGUAUUUUCGGCAUUUUGAGCCUUUCCACAAUAGCUACAGGUCAUUUGUGACUUACUAGAAUAGUUGGUUUGAUUAUCAAGCAGUUCAUUUGGGUUUUAGGCUCAUUCCCAAUUUUAGAUCUUUCUUUUUAAGGAAUUGGUCUCGGACCAAGACUCCUAAUAAACAACCUCAGAUGGGAAUUUCGAUAGUUCCAUCAACUUUUGAACAUUGAUUUUGGGCUAGGGGGGCCAUUGGUUCAAUUCCAAAGGCUUCCGGACUCGUUUUGGUCUAUUAGGUGAAUUUUAUGAAAAAUAGAAUUAUAGGUGUGCACCCUACAUUUAGUCAAAAUAGUCACGAAUGAAAGUUUCGAUGGUUCUAUUAAGACUGAAAUAUUAAAUCUGGUAUGGUAGCAAGUUAGUUUGUGUGCAUGGGAUUUUGAAUGAAUCUCGAGCACUCGAUCAGAGUCCAAUUAGACUUAGAAAAAUCAGGUGCAUGGCAUCAGUUGGUGCAACCGCUUGAGCGGACCUUUGACCGCUUAAGUGGUGGUUGCUUAAUCGACCAGUGGGUUACUUUCUAGCCAGCCUUUUCUGUUUAUGAUCGCUUAAGCGAUGGCCUUAUUUCAUAAGUGGAGGUCGCUUAAGAAGCACUCGAUCACUUAAGCAAAGACUGGAUAUUUAUGAGGGAUUUCUUAAGUCAUCAUUUGAUCUCUUAAGUGGUGAUCUCUUAAGUGAUCAUUGGGUUGCUUUAGUAACAUCUGUACGGGAUUAAAUCCCCUUCUUCACUUAUUUUGUCCCUCAUUUCUUAACUCCUUUCCACCAUUUUGAAAUCAUGUGACAUGAGAAAGUAUGGGAAAUCAUCUAUUGAAGCUAAGGUAAGUUAACCCAACACUCCUUAGUUAUUUCCCAUUAUUUUGCCCAUCAAGUUUCAUCUUUUUUCAUUAUAAAUUCUUAUAAAUUAGGUCUUAAAAUCAUUUGACUUUAGGAGCUAAUUUGGGCCCUUAUUUAUGCUCCAUUUGAGCUUAACUUUUGAGAACAUUUCUUGUCCCUUGAGAGUCUACGUGAUGGAUUUAAUUUUGGGUUCCAUUUGCGGGCCCAGCAGGAUCAUUCUUGACCCAAAUUCUGACUCUACCUUUUAUAUAGCAAUAUUGGUCUCGAUUUACUCCUAAUGACAUAUAGGUAAUUAUUUUAAUAUUAUGGUGGUAUUUUAGGGUCGUGGAGUAAAGGUGAAUGCUCAUAAAUAAUUCAAGACUUAUGAUUUCAGCAUCGAGGUAGACUUUGAUCUAAUUUACUUUACGAGAGGUGUACGUGUAGAUUGCAUGUUAGAAUGGGAUUACCGGAUGUGAUUAUAACUAGUACAUCAUAAAUUUGCCUAAUUAAGAAGUGUGGGGAUAGAAGGGUGACCCAACCCUUAGGAUGAGAUGCUUGUUAUGGCUAUAGAAUCCAAUCACCCUAAAUUAUAAGCAUGUGAUCAUAGUUGUAUAAGGUUUAUUAUUUCACUUAGUGAACUGGACCAUAGUUUUUCAGAAUUAUAGUUUUACUAUUUAUGCUAUUUAUAUAUUAUUAGGCCCGAGGAUAUGGCUAUGAUACUUUUUUGGUUUAAUUUGUAAUUUUAUUCAUCAAUCAAAUUAAAUUCCACAUAAAUAUGGACCAACCCAUCCAAUAAUCUAACAACAAAAGAAACUAACAAAAUAAGAAAAUCGGACCAUCCCACUAGUUGAACCGGCCUAAAAAAAUAACAUAAAUAAUGAGUAGGGUUUCCAAAAAUGAGCUAAGAGUUAAGCUCCACUUUUUUCCGUUCCCUGGUUGUGUUGGAUUGAAUCUUAUUCCAGCUUGCAAGAGUAAGAAACUUCUUCCCUUUUGAUGUCUAUUGCUUAAACUUAUGCUUUGUCCCUUAUUUGAUGCUCUCCUUUCUAUAUUCUCAGCUGAGUUCUCCAGUGUAAGGGUGAACGUUGUGGUUUUUAGUGCUAAAAUGAUGGGUCUAGUCUAUUGAGGCUUGUUCUUUUUUCCAAGUAAGAUGACUCCAUUAUUGAGCUUGUUGAUCUUGCUGACUGCCUUAUUUCUUAACCUUAUCAUUCUUGAUCUAUAGUUAUGGAUGGGAUGGAGAUUAUGAGAUACUCGAACCCACAUGUAAUUGGAUAGUAACAAACGUCUCAGACGUUUGCAGUUAAGAUCUAACCUUGUGACCCCCCCNNNNNNNNNNNNNNNNNNNNNNNNUUAAGAAGCAUACUGGGUCCCCCCCCCCCCCCCCAAUUGCUGAUUCCAUUUUUGUUGGUUGGUGUAGUUAGGCUAAGUAGCAAUUUCACUUUUUUUACCUUCUCAGGUUGUAAAUGUAAUGCAUGUGAAUUAACUUACUUUAUCCAUUCCAAUCGUUUUACCUUUUUCAUGGUGCUAACCUUAAAUAGGGACAUUAUUGUUUAUCACUAUCUAGAAUCUUCGUGCCUGCACUUGGUAACUGAUGGAAAGAUGUAUAUUUGAAUUUCCUUUGUUCCAAUGCUAAGUUAGCCAGAUAGUCUGCUAAUUGAUUACCUUCUCUAAAUAUAUGUUGUGUCUGUACUUGCUUAGCUGAAAGUAGUUGCCAUAUUCGAUUGAUUUUUUCUGCUAUGUUCCAUGGGAUAUCCCAUUCCUUUCUUAAAAGCUUUUGCAUGACUAAAGAAUCUGUGUCUAUGAUACCAAUUGGACUCUAGGUGAGUAAUCUAUCCUUAUAAAGGACAUGGCUUUAGUCUAUAGACACCUAGAUAAUAUAAUUGUAUUGUCUGGAUACUGGUGAUGGCAUGCAUACAUUAUGGCAGAUUAAGUCUCACUUAGUGGUACGAUUCCAACCAAAACUAUUAUUUCACUAUUAUUAUCUAAAAAUGGAUUUAUUCUUGUAUUUCACUUUUAUUCUUUAAUAAAGGGAAUCAUACCACCUUACUUAAUGAUUUAUGAGCUUUUAGAACUAAAUUAAUAUUAUGUAAAUUUGAUGGAGAUUGAUUUCGGUCCAUGGUUUAGCCAAUCUUUGAUCACUAUUAUUUACUUUGGUCUAGUGAGAUUCCAACCAUUUCAAUGCCAUUAUACUAAUCUAGUCAUGAAAUUAAUCUUGAUUAAUGGAUUUACAGACUUACUCUUUUAGCCAAGGUUCGAGUUUGUGCAUUUAUUAUGAAUACAUCUCUCCAAUACUAGAUGAAGUAGAUUUAUAAUGAUGAUGAUUAGAAAUCCUAGAUCGGAACCAGGUGGUAUAGACAAAUAUUCUUGAAUCUCCUAGGGUCCUCUUUGUCUAUGAGCCACAUUUUUUAAGAAGAAAGGUCAUUGUAGGUCCUACCUUUACGAGCUGGUAAGCUGGAGGAGAUGUAUACACUUAGUACAUUAUGACUCUUAGAUCAGAUAUGGUACUAUGGAUUUACUUUGUAUUCAUUCAUUCAUAUGCAUUUCCUAUCACCAGUAUUUUUUUUGUACUUACAUCUAUCAUCCUUAUAAGGGUUGCAUAGGUAUAGGCUAUGAUUGUUGUUUGCUGAGUGUUAAUUGAACCUUAUGGGUUUAUGAGGACCUAGUUAAGUAUUGUUUGUAUGGACUAUCUAGUUGCUUUAUUGUUGUUAUCUUUGUUAGUUCGUGGCAAGUUGAUUAUAGAUUGGUACCUGAGGUUGUUGAUAUGAAUCUGAGCAUACUUUGUUAUAGUAAAUUGCAUUAUGGUCAGUGUAUUCGUGGCUAGACAUUUUGACUAUAGGUCCUGAUCAUGCUAGUAUUAUCUUUCUUACUUGGUUAGAAUUCUCUAGAGAAGUUAGGUUGUUACCUUUGACUUAGUCAAAUAUACUUAGAUACAUGUGUGUGUGUGUUCUUACUGUAUAUCCCUUUUUUUCCUUGUUCAUUCAUAUUGUAUAUGUAUUUUUUGGCCUUGUAUAUUACUAUGUAUCAUUCUUUCAUUCUUCAUUGGUAUAUUGGUUGGUGAUAUAUGGUAUUGCACUUUAGACCAUAGUUACUAUUAUGAUAAGAUAGUUUAUCCUUAUUGCCUCACUAGCUAUAUUACGUUUAUCUUCUUGAAUAGUUUCUUGUAGCUUAUAUUCCUGCUUUACAUAUUUUUUAUGUUUGCAUUAUCUUUAGAGCUCAAUUGGUCGAUGUCUACUGAGUACCACGUCUUUGGUACUUAUACUACAUAUCUACAGCAUAUGAGUUCUCAUUGUUGUUGUGUGCAUUGUGUAGAGCAGCUAUGGAUCGGAGAUUUAGGGUGACCUCCUAGCAUUUAGAGUAUUACUACUCUCCCUCUUAUGGAUUGGGCUAAUCUAAUAUUGUAUUUAGAGACAACCUAUAUUUGUAUUCACUCUGUGUUUCACUUUAUGCUCCUAUUGUAUUAUAGGCUCUUGUAUUAACUUCACCAGGUCUUGGGGUUGCUUUAUAUAUAUUAGCCCUUUUAUUAUAUUUAUUCCACUAUUUCCCUUCAUUUCUUUUGAUAGUCUAUUAUCAUAGGUCCUGACGAUGGAAUGGCUUACCUACUAGUGGGUUAUAGCAGGUGCCAUCAUUAUAUGCGAAAUUGGAACAACACAACUUCUCAACUAAGUCUCCCCACUUGAAUACCACAUUUUAUCAUUUACAAAUUACAAUUCUCACAUGUUCACAUAGAGAUACUAAAGUUGAGUCUUACUACAUGUGCUUACCAUGUUAGAUCCCAAUUCAAAGAUAAAAAGUGCUACAUCUAAGGAGAUCAUGCUAGUAUGAAUUAUAGGAUAUUUUAUUCUAUUUCCCUUAGGAACAUUCAUUUUGAUCAGUGAUAUGCUCUUAGGCUUGUUCUAAAACUUAACAAAGUCUCUUUUGUAUCAAGAGUUAUCACAAGAAUAAUAAUUCUUCUUAUCAUGUAAAUCAACUAAUCUCGAGCUUUGAUCAAGAGGCCAUUAGUCACAUAAUGCAAACAUCAACGAGUUUAUCAAUAAUGACAUUCAAGCAAAUUCUAGAUUCACUUUAAAAAAUUUUGGUAACUAAACCUAUCUAAGAAUAUUCUUGAGCAUUCCUACAAUCAGCAACUUCCAAAAUUUCUACCAAGAGUCACAUCAUAAAUCCACUAUCUAACUAUUACACAAGAAAUCGUCAUCUCACUCCUUCUUCAUUAUUAGAACCUUAGAUGGAAUAAGCACAUCACAAUUGUAACAAAAAAUCUACUUUCUACCAUCUAAACCACUAUUAUCUCACUUCUCCAUGCUUAGAACCUUAGAUGGAAUAAGCACGUCACAAUUGUCACAAAAAAAUCUACUUUCUCUCAUCUUAAUCAUUACUUAUUUGCUUUCAUCACCACUUAAUACAUCAUUGGUGGGAAUAUAGAGGAAAAGGGGAUGAGUAGAAACCAUUUGGAAUACAAAUAAAGGCCUAUCUUUUCCUUGUAUUAAUAGGUCAUGAACUGAGCAUUAUUAUGUAAAGGACGAGCAUUAGGAAUAUGAGGAAUAUUAUCUGCUCUUGACUAUUACUUAUCAUAAGAUGGAUAUUCAAAAUGAGGCCUAUGAUGUAAGGUAUAAUAGGAGCGAAUACUUAUUAUUUAAAACAUAUAAAGAAUGGAUAGAGAUUCAUUCUAAGCAUAGACAUGACAUAAUCAUCCAUUACCAUCGUAGGUGGACAUACGUAGAGCUUAGAGCAAAGAAAUCAUAAGCAUGAACUAUUCAAGACAUCUAAUAUAAGCAUAUGCACAAUGUAGCAUGAUUUAACUAUCUAUUAAGGGCAUAUCAUGAGUUCAUAAGAUUGAGCAUAUUAGAAAGUAUAAGUUUAUAUACCAGGAGUUGUAUAGUAGAAGACUUGGAUUUCUAGAAUCAUAGAAUAGAAUUAGGAUCAUUAUUUGAAGUUCUUGCUUCUUACUCUAGAAACUGAGCAUGGAGUUAAAUUUGCAUGGAGUGCAUGAACCGGGGUUUAAGGCAUAACACUAAUAAGCAAGACCUGAGUAGAGUGUUAUCUUAUCUGAAGUAUAAGGAAUAUGUUGAUAUAAGAAUGGUCAUUGUUUCAUCAUGGUUCUUUUUGAUACUCUGUAUUGUAUGAAUCUCAAGAUCUAAUCAAGAAUUCAUUCUAUCAUCUCCAACUGAGCUUAAAAGUUGAUGAUGUAAGUCUAUGGACUUCUCCUCUAAACUGAGUUAUAACUAAAUUACUCUGUAUAAGUGUUGUGCCACUAUACAUCUAAAUGUUACACUUUCUCUUAUAGACUAUACUAGAUGACCCGAGCUCAUGCGAUGCACGAGCGAGAUUUUAAUGGUAAAGAAAGCAGUAAAAGUAAGUGAAGUAGUAAGUCAUAUCAUAGAAUAGUUACAUGAUACAAUGUUAUGCUUCAUAUUAUGUGGAACAAAGAUUACAUUGUGCAGAUUCUAAAAGUAUUACAUAGACAUAACAUUUGUUGAUCCAAAAAGUGUCAAAGCCUAAAAUGUGAAUUCAUAUAGUUGUUGGUACCAAAGUCACAUCUGCGCAUUAACUAGGAAAAUAAAAGUAUUAAUAAUGAUAAAUUAAGCAAUACUUGAGAUAGGAGGCAGACAGUCAUUUGCCAAGCAACCAAAUAGAGGGUCUAUGAAAAUCCAUUCCACUUACAGCAGAGAGUAGCUGAAGUGAGUGAUCUCUUUAUACAUACCAGAGAAAGAGAGAGAGAGUUGUUGCAAUACUAAGUCUCCCAUGGCACCAGCCUACAUCGCAUAUUCAACAUUUGUAAUUAUAAGUAACUGGAUAAGAUUCAAUGGCAUAAAAAAUAGAUAUAAUGCAAAAGUAACCAAGUAGAAUCAGCAAAAUAUAUGGCAGUAUUUUCAUAGUACAAAGAUCAUUAAAUAUUUGUUAAUUCUUAGUCAAGCUAGUAACCUUCUCAAGUGGAUAUUCAAUUAAAUAUUUAACUCGUUUGACCUUGAGACACUAUAACACACUCUUAAGACUAUGCAGAUGCACAUGAGCUGGUUUAUAAAACAAUAUUUUAACAAUUAUGUUUGAUCAACUUCAGAGUGACUCCACUUCAAACAAUAUUUUUGAAUGAUAAGGUAUGAAAAAAAUAUUGGGAAGCCACAAUUCCAUAGCAGCUAGAUCUGAGCCAACUAAUUUAGUGGUCUCCCUCUCUUCCUAUUGUUUGAACCAAAACUCUAGCAGUCUGUGAAGUAACAUGCAGUGAGGAAAAUGAAUAGAACCCUUUGAUCAUGAUUCCAGAUUAGUGAGGCAUUCUGACAUGACCUGAACUGGGUCCUAGUCGUUUCAGGUAUCUCAAGUCUAACCAGGACUGGAGACCACCCCCAAUACCCUGCCGUAACCAUCCUACACCCCAUGUCGAAUGAAUUUCAAAUAUAUAACAAGAUAAUACAAUAUAUUAAAUACAAUAAAAUAAGUCUAUAACCAUAGCCAAACAACCAUAGCCACAUGUCUAACCAAUACCAAUACCAAUCCCAAUGUCAAUACCAAUACCAAUUCUAACACUAAUUCCGACACUGCUCAUGCCCAUAGUAGUCCGAUAAAGCCUCUAACUAGAAUCAAAGAACAUUUGGUCAAGACAUGCCCCCGACCAUAGCCAAAACCAUAACCAAAGGAAUAACAAUAAUGAAAAGAAGUCCAUAGCAUGAAUGGAGCCUUCCAGAGGAUGGAAGCUCACCACUUCAAUCUAGCUCAAAAGCUGUCCCUAAAUCCUAGUCAUUGAGCAGGAGGAAUAGUAAUAUAGCCAGUUCCUACAUCGCGAGAGGAUAUGGUGCUCGAAGAUGGUUAGCGGGGUAAACACUAGCAUGUAACUUAGAGAUAAAUAUAAGAUAAUGCAAUCAUUCAAAACCAAAUCAAACAACCAUAUGCAAUCACAUAUAUACAUAUAUACCAUGUUGGGAUAGGGAACAAGGUUUAGCAUGCAUUGAAAAUCUUAACCUGGGUUGUGUAGCUUGGCCGUCCUAAAAUCACCCAUGGGCUAUAUGGGUUCAUCUCCCCCUGUUGAAAGGUCCCAAAUGCGUGUUAGCCGUAUAUUAGAGAAAAUAACUUGAGAUGAAUAGUAUAUCCCAAAAAUAUAAAGUGUGUCAUCAUGCACACGAUCACCGAGACCAUCAUCACAUCGGCAAACGUGAGUUUCCAAUGUCGGUCCCCCUGAGACCUCUACCUUCCAUGGCUUUUCUACUCAAUCCCCUUUAAUUCCAUAUUAAAUUAUUUACACAUUUUCAACCAUUUACCAAGGAGUCUUAAUUAGGUAUUAACCAUUGGUAUCGUCAUACCAAAAUUAGAGCUUGCAAGUUUAUUACCUUAUGCCAUAUCUACCAUUCAACCAAAUUAGGCUCCACCAUUUCCAAUUAUAUUUUUAUUUUGUAUAUAAAUGUACAUAAGUAUUUUCUAUACAAAUGCAUAAACUAAUCUAGUUACUAUAUUUUUCAGUGAAUAAUGUACCUGGACCAAUGAAGUAAGUGGUAAGCUAGCAAUUUGGUCAGGCUUCCAGUUUCAACAGUUGUAAUUAGUGAUGAUAGUAAGAUUUUAAGUACUAAAGUUGUAGUAAGAAGAUCAUUCCUUCAUAAUAGGAAAGAACUUUUUGCUUUACUAAUGGUAUAAAGAGAUUUCUUGCAUAAAUUUUUGGUCUAUGGCUGUAGUUUAGCAGUAGAUUGAUGCCUUGAAAGAAGAACACAUAAGAAGGGACAUUGAUAAGUAAAUUAAAUGCCAAAAACAUAAAAUUAGUAUAAUGGCACAUUGACUAAAGAACAACUUGAUAGGAACUUCAAAUUUUGCAUUUUGUAAAGAGAAAAAUAAUAAAAAAUUAUACCCGAAGAUAGAAACAUAAUUCUUGACAUUCUUCGGCAAAGAAAAUCUGAUAGUGCAGACCAAGUAAGUAGUAGAAUCACAGAUUUUAGCAAUAAAGGACACUCAUCUUGGUGUAAUAUCCAUUAAUGGUCCUUUUGUUGUUUUUGUUGUUGUUGUUGUUGGUUUUGGAGUAGGCUCAGAUUUGGCCUUCCUCAGACAAAGCCAAAGCGCUUCUCAGAGAAACUGGCAUGGUUGUAAGCAUCGAUUAGGCUUAUGAGAUAGAAAAGAAAUACUAACAAUGAAACUUUCUUCUCUACUUCUCACAGCCUCAUUGACCAACCAAGUGAAGAUACUAUUUUUUUCUAGUGCAAUGGAUAUGUCUGAUUCAUCUUCCAAAGAAGAUAGGGUUUGGAUUCUUCAUCACCUUAUUGAAGAAAAUUUACAAUCUAAGAGAGUAACAGGAAAAAGAAAAGAGAUAUGAUGGUUUAAUCCAUGCAUAAUUAGAAAUUAUUGGCCAAGUUAACUUAUGUGAAAGCAAUAUGGACUAAAUGUUCCCUCUUUAUAAAAAUCAAAGGCAAUCCAAUGCAACUAUGUGUAGAAUUCUAAAAGGUAGUCAUCCAAAUAUGCAAGAAAGGAUAAAAAUAGGAUUAAUUCUCAAGAUAUAAUCAAUGAAGUAACCAAACUUUAUCAUUAUUCAAGAUUAAAGAAAACAUAAAAUAUGAAAAAAGAAAAUUAAAGGUGCAAGCAAGCUGAAGGACAAACAAUAGGAUAAAAAAUACAAGAGAAUUUCAUUGUAGAAAUGCAAGGUAAAGAAAGAUUUGUAAAGUAGAAAAGACAAUCCAUAAAUGCAUUUCUAUACAUCAUGCAUAAACAAGUUUGUAAUAACACCGAUAUACACCAAUAGCAUGUGAAGAAGAGAGUUAUAUAAUCCACUUCUCUCAAACCUAUUUGAUCAACCAAGUGAAAAUACAGGUAUUUAGAGCUUAAUGGAUACAUGGUUGAUUCAUCUCUGUAGAAGAUAGUUUUUCAAUUCUUCAUUGCCUCAUUGAAUAUAAUUUAGAAACAGAAGCAAAACAUGAUUAAUAUAGCUAAAACAUUACAACGUUAUAGCUAGUAAUACCUAUGAGAAUGAUAAAUCAAGUAACAGUAGUAUAAAUAUUUCACCUUUUCUAAUACAAAAAUUAUCAACUUGAAAGAAGCAGUGGUAAAGAAUAAAGGAAAGUUAUAAUUUUGCUUACCUUGUUUCAUUGGUGCAACUUUUGUCAGAAUGUAGGAGUUCAAAAAGUGAUUGCAAAAGAUACUUAAUUAACCUUCAGAAAUUUUCAUAUACAAAACAAUGAAUCAAGGUACAAUAAACUUAUAUGUAGAUAAACCUACACUUAUUAUUAUUGAAAUGUAUUUUCAAUAGUCCAGUGGUACUUUACUAAGGCGAGAACUCUAAAGCAGCAAAUCCUAGACGAACAUAGUACUACAGGAUUGCUCAAAUUAGUAAUUUGUUUAAGAGAUAUCAAAGUAUAUACCAAGUACAAGAUUGAGCAAGAUAAUCAAAAAAUAUAAAAUAAAAGUCGACCAAAAAUGAAAGUAGAGGUAAGAACAGAAACUUAACACACAGAGAGCAAUAAGAAUGAAAAGACAGGGAAUAGUCUAUAACAAACUAAAUAUGUAGAUGAACCUAAACUUAUUAUUAGUGAGAUGUAUUUUCAAUAGUACAGUGGUGCUUUACUAAGGUGAGGACUCUAAAGCUGCAAAUCCUAAAUGAAUGUAGUACUAAAGGAUUGCUCAAAAAGCAAAAUAAUCAAAAAAAUUUAAAAUUAAAGUAUACCAAAAAAGAAAGUUGAGGGAAGAACAAAAACACAACACACAAAGAGCAAGAAGAAUGAAGAGAUGUAGAAUAGUUUACAAGGUUACACAAAAGAAAGCGAAGUUAAUAAAAUGAAUCCCUAAAAAACAAAGUGGACAAAUUGCAUAUAUGGAUCUUCUUACUUCAUACAUGUAUAUUAUGAUCCAAAAAUAUCAAAGAUAAAAGUAAGUCAACUAUGCAUUUCUUGUUUAAAAUAAUAUGACAUGAGCUUGGGAUAAGAGUUGGAGCUAUCCAGAAAUAAUAGAAUUUGCUUUAUCAGUACUACAUAGUUGACAAAAAAGGAGAACUUAGCUAAAUAGAUAGAGGAAAAUAAAGAUGAUGAAUGUAGGUAAAACAUAAAAUUUGGGUAAAAUUUAUGCUAAAAACGUGAAUGCAGGUUUGAGCCAAAAAUGCAGAAAUAAAUGCAACAUUGGCUCAAGGAAAAUAAUAGUUAAUAAUUAUAGAAGAAGGAAUGGUAAAGAAUAGUGAGAAGGUGUAAUUUUGAUUAUCUUGUUUCAUCAGUGUGACUAUUACCAGAACAUGAUAUGCAUAGAGUAAAAUUUAGCAGAAAGCAGCAAAAAGGGGUCACCAAAAAAAUGCAUAUAUGAAGGAAUAAGGUAUUAAUUCAUGUUACAGACUAAUUUAUAGAGAAUUAUUUAAUUAUAGAUUGUUGAUGGAAGAAAUUCCUUAAAAGAGACUUGCAUAAUCAUGGAUCGGGGAAAAUGAAAAAUUAUCCAUAUUUAUUACCUUUGUCCCACAAAAUCCAAAACUGAUUGCAAAAAGAAAGUUGAUGAACCUACAAAUAUAUUUAUCAAGAAUGAAAGAGGGUGCAAUAUAGAUAGAUGGAAAAUAUUAUAGUAAUUAUAUUGAAGGUAUUAUAAGUAUUGAGAGAAAGAAUAAGAAAGGAGUUUAUUGGCGAUAUUUAAUUCAUCUUCAUUGGAGUUGGUACUCCAUUUUUUGUUUCAUCUUGAGCAUGUCACGUUGUUUAUUUUUUUUUCAGUUUGUUCAGUAGAAUUGAAUUUAUUUUUGCCUAUUGCUUUCUUUUUUGGUGUGAGUUGUGGACGAUGCAGGAAGAUGAGAUCUGAUUUCUCCUUUUUAAUAUAGGAUAAAAUAAAGAUUUUUCUAGAGAUUUUGCGAUCGGUGGGGGGAAGUGUUUCUUUCACUUGAAUCGUGAACAAAUUUUGAGUCAAUUAGAUUUGAUCAUUUUGUGUUAACUGAGACUCAUUCUAUGGAGAAAUACAUUUAGUUUUUCUAUUUGUUAAAUAAUUAAGUUGAUAUGUUUAUUGAAUGGUUAAAUUUUUUACCCCAGUUGAACCAAGCUCGUAGAUUUGUUCUGGUGUAAGAGAUAAUAAUUUUUUUCCUUCUUUGCCACUAACUUUCCCAAUUAUUGAGCUUGUUUUAUCUUCAAGAUUCACAUCAAAUCGGCACUUGUAGUAAUACGUGCUAAUACUUUGGUUGAUAAAAAGAGAUAUCUUACUGAUAUUGUGGCUAAAUGUGUGUAUAAUAUUAGGAUAGAAGUACCUGGGAGCCAACAUAUUUCAUUGAAGACAAUUCAAACAUUGAAAUUUUCUCUUUGCUGAAUUUUUAACUUCUUGUGGAUAGUUUGGAUGGGUUAAACAUAACAACAUUUGGGCCUAUUUGGCAGGGUUAUUUUUGCUUCGAUGGUGAAGGCGAGGCCCUAUCGGAAAAGGUGAUAGCAAGCAUCACAAGGCUAAAUUUUACUGCAAAUUAUAAAUCAAGUGAAUAGAAAUUAUACUAACAUCUUGUUGUGACUGAAUAAUGGCGAUUAAUACUAUUUCUUCGUCUACUAGAGCAGAGACCAAAUAUCCAGAUUAGGAAGUGCUUCUUGCAGCAAAGAAGUUGAAUAUUUUACUAUUUUCCAUAACCCUAUUUGAGUUGGUAUUGAAGAUAUUUAGCAUAAUAAUAAUAAGGUAGAAGUCAAUAUGAAGUAGAGUAUAGUAAGUUGAUACCAUGAUUGCAGUUGUAGGCAUUCUGGAUAACGUGGAUCAAUCUGUAUCAUUGUGUUAAAUUUGAUUGUCAACAAUAUCCCUACAUUAAUUCUAAUAAUAAUGAAGUUAGUGAAGAAAAUAGAAUUUGAUAUAAAUUAAUUAAUUACAGUAAUGAUUGAUUCAAUAAAAAUAAAAUUUUAUGUAGCUGCCACGUAUAAGAUGGGUGGUUGAUGUUGUUUGCAAAAUUGUACUAUUUAUCUUACCAUAGAAUUUGGAUACCUAAUAUGUCUGAUACAUAUGAUCGGAUGUUGUUGAAACCGCGUAAGGAGUUUCUUGCCUUCGGCUUUGAUAAGAGCUUUCUUUCCAUAGUGUGAAUGUGUAAGCUUGUUAGCUUUGUAUAACAAAAUAAGUAAUAUGUUGUAUAUUUUAUAUUGUGAAGAAAUAAGAAUUGUGGAAAAUUUGGCUAAUAUACUUACUUGGUGUCAAUAACAAUUAGUUCUUGUAGUCUUUUUUGAACGUUUGUAACAUAUCUUGGUGGAAAGCAGUUAAAAACUAUUGCUAGUGCAUCUGUUGAGGGGAAAAUACAUGUUAGCUCGUGCUGAAGCGGAUAUUUAGUGGCACAAAGAGUGAAAUAAUCAUACUGUAUUUGCAGUCUUAAGUUGUUCUUUGGCAUCUCGGGUGGCUUGAUUAUUGAUAUCUUGAAAUGAUGUAGCAUUGACCAUUCUAGGUAGUAGCAACUCAUUUUUAUCUGAGUCAUCUCUAUCAAUUGGAUUCGCUAUGGUAUUUUUAUCAAUAAUUCAUUCAAAUAUAUGUAAAGGUUUUCAUAUCUUAAAGUUGGUUAUUGUGCGCAUUGUAUCCAUUAUCAAAUACGUGUGAAACAGUUGGAACAUAUCUUGAUAAGGGGAAGCAUCAUAUCACCUAGACAAUUAUUUUUACUUGAUUGUCCUGUAGGUAAUUUUAUGGGUAAUAAUAUGAGAGGCAGAAGUAAGGAAUGUAAGUAGUAGAUUUGAUUUUCAUAAUAGGAAAUUACAUGUUCAUCUUGAAACAUCAUGUUCAUAGAUUUUAUAUUUUGUUCUCUAUCUUCUCCUCCUAGCCUACAUAUAUCUACAACUUGCACUUUACAUAUCUAGUCUAAUAUUUCAAGAGUGACUGCAUGCAUAUUUAGUCUUUCUGUCAUUUUUUGUAUAGCCUGCGAGAUAAUUAAAGAUGAUUAAUACAAUAAAAGAUCAUAAUAGUAGGACCGUGGUAUAUGAGAAACAUAAAUUCAAGUUUUGAUUAGUAUUUAUACAACAAGCAAUGCUGAUUUAACAACUUGAAUAAACUGUUUUUAAAAGAGGAAAAGAAACAAUUAUAUUAACAGGCUUCUUCAUUUACAAAUACUAAUAAUUAGAAGCAAAGAGCAGGCUUGGACAGCUCAAAGGGUAUGCCGUUAAGGGGUAGAGGGGGAGAGAGUGUUAGUAAAGGCACGGGGUAUGCAAUCAUUUGGCUGGAGUGAGACAGUGAAACAGAACUUGUUCAACAUAACAAAGAUCAAAAGUGAAGGGUAUAAUUGGUGAUGAUAUCAAGUUUUGAGUACUGUUGUUGCAACUAGUACAUAAAAAAAUUGACACAGUGAAAGGGAUAGUGAAUUGAUAUCAUCAACUUAACAAACUCCAAUUUGGCAAAAUAAAGCAUUUAAAACUUUUGCAAGCAACGCAAUGACCAACAGGACUAAAUCAAUCAACAGGCAGGUAUGAGUUCUCAUUGUAAUAGCAAACUUCCCAUAAAAUGUGAUAUUGAUUCUAGAAUCCAAAAUCAACAGCCCCAACCCCACGAUAAUGUUCAUACAGAUGGUGAUGCCAAGCCAUAAAAUUCCAUGGAAAAUGGAAAUAAUCACACAAGAAAAAAGUUGAAAAAUGCAGCAGCAAAAGAUAUGCAAAUAGAUGCUGAGAAGAGGGCUAAUUAAAAGGUUGUGGAUGUAGAAAAUGUCCCAAAAGGGACCCAAAUCACUAGUGAUGAUAAUAUUCUAAAAAGAGGCUCAGAUAUUGACUCAAUGUUCCAUGAAACCAUCUAGAUAAUUUUAUUAUUUUUGUUGGGACUUCUAUUGAAGUUAAUGGGCAUAAGAAUGAUGGUCAGGAGAAGACUACUAAUGGCAUGACCUAAUCCCGGGCCUGGCUGUGAUGGGUAUCUGAAGCCCAUAGUGGGCCGAAGACCACCCCUAGAGUCUGUCCAAUCUAAACAUGAUAUAGUAUAAUAGCAGAAAAAUUCAAGUAAACAUAUGGAAGAUAAAUAACCAAUACAAAGGUUCUAGGAUCUCAAACAAACAUCCCAAUCCAUAGUUGUCCACAAACGCCUCUAAAACAACCCAAAUAUCAACUAGGUCGGGACAUGCCCACAAUCGUGGAAAAAAAAGAAUCCAAAAUAUGAAAAAAAAAAGAAUAGGAUUUCUAUACUCAUAAAGAAAACAAUGAAAUGUUUGGCCUUUUGGAAGAUGGAGGCUCACCACUUCAAUGUAGACCAACCGACGAACCAGAAUCCACACAAUGCUACAUGUGGGCAAAAGAGGUAUCUGCAGACCCUACAUUAUGAAACAAUGUAGCAUAUUAGGACGAUUAGCAGGGUGAGAACUGGCAUGUAAUAAGGAUAAAAUAAUGCCAUUUCAAAAUCAAGUUCGACUUAUUUUACAUGUUCACAUACAUGCGUACAUACAUAUAAAAGAUGUUCAGAUAGGAAACAAGGUUUAGCAUGAGAUUUAAAAUCAUUAACAAGGACUAUGUAUCUCUGUCCGCCAUAAAAAAACCCACGAGCUAUAUAGGUCUGGCUUCCCUCACCAAAAGGGCCCCAGUGCAUGUUAGUCGUACGAACUGGAGGUAUCAAGGAUGGCCAAGGAAUCUAUGACCCUACGCUACUCAUGGAUACAAAUAUAUAUAAAAAAAGUGUGACACAUGCACACGAUCAUUAAGACCAACCCUAUAUCAGUAAACGUGAUUUCCAGUAUUGGUCCCUCGGGGACCUCUACCUUCACGACAAGUGACACAACCCCCUUUAUUCCUAAUUAAAGCCUUUACACAAAAACUCAUCCAUUUAACCAAGGAAUCAUCCAUUAAGGCAUUAUCAAUGGUAUCGCCAUACCAAUUACGCUUGCAAGCUAAUAUCAUUAUGUCAUUUCAAUUAUCCAUCAACAUAGGGAAAUCCACGACCCCCAAGGUCCAAUUUAAAAUCAAAAUAUGUUCCAUUAACCCUUUUAUGCAAUGCAAGGUUUCAAAAAUUAGUUUCAAUAUGCAUAUAUCCAUGCUUCAAAGCCAAUUUCGUAAGGUGGUUUAAAGUUAUUACCAAUUCCAAUACCAAAUUCAUUUACGUGGGGAAAUCCAUGACCCCCAUCCCAAUUCCCAUGAUUAUCCACAAAUUCAAUUCAUAAACCAUGACAUAAAGCAUGAAUAAAUAUAACAAAAACCAUGAGAAAACCAACCAAGUAGUAGUCAUUCAAAACCCUCAACCAUCAUUCAAAACCCAAUAAGUAAAUCCAUAUAAACCAUAAUUAAGCAUAUGUUUUUCAUAAGGCAAGUUUUAGGGAAGAUAUAAAUGCUUGGGAUACCAAGAAUUUAAAGGAGAAAUCACAAAUUGAGCCCUAGAUGACCAAUCCCUAGAAACCCUAAGUUUGCUUUUAAUUAGGGAAUUUGAGAGAGAAGAGAAGUGUAUGUUGGCUAAAUGAUGAAAAUAGGGACACUUAGGUGUUUUAUGUUUGUGGGUAAUAUUUAGAGUAGGAGGGAAAUGUCCAAAGUGCCCCAAAUUAAAAUAUAGGAAAACUUUCGCCAGUGGCUAUGAGUCAUCUCAUGACUCAUGAGGACUGAUCACGAGUUGUCACCAUAACUCAUGGUAAGGGCAAAAGGUUUUAUCCAAUAUACUGGUUUGGUCAUGAGUCCCUCAUCACGACUCGUAACCUCACCAUAUGACUAGUGAGGUCCAAAUUGUGACCUCAACAGAAAUCAUGGACAAACUUACUGGUUAGGCUACGAUUAGUACCCUAUGACUCGUGAGGAGUAUUCACGACUCGUCAACUAAAGGCUAAGCAGUGAGCAUAACAAAAAGAGAAUUUUUCAGAGUUUAGAACCUGGGGUGUUGCAUUACCCCUCCCCCUCCAAGGAUUAUUUAUCCCCAAAUGAGGAAUCAACAUACUCAUUAGCACGAUACAAGUAAGAAUGUAACCACAAAAACUAAAGAUAAAUUCAAAAGGCCACAAGAAAAGAAUGGGAAUCAUACCUCAAGGAUUGUCAUGCAAUGCAGGGAAACAAGAAUGGAUAUUUGGACUUUGUGUCUUCUUCGGCUUCCCAAGUAACUUUCUCUACCUUUUGAUUCCUCCAAAGGACUUUUACCAAAGCCAUAUACUUAGUCUUCAAUCUCCAGAGUUGCCUAUCAAAAAUCUUAACCAGGAUUUCCUUAUAGGACAAGGAAUCCAAAAUAACAACACCUUACAAAGGAACAAUCAAAGAGGGAUCACCCAUGCACUUCUUCAACAUCGACAUAUGGAAACUCGGGUGAAUAGAACUCAAACUCACAGACAGCUCCAAUUCAUAAGCAACGUUCCCUACUCUCUUAAAAAUUAAAUACAGACCAACAUAAUGGGGACUACGUUUCCUCUUCUUCCUAAACCUCAUCACUCCCUUCAUAGGAGAAACUUUCAAGAAUACCCAAUUCCCUACAUCAAACUCAAACUCCCUUUGCCUCACAUCUGCAUAGGACUUUUGGCGACAUUGGGCCAUCUUAUGUCCCUCCCUAAUCACAUUUACCUUUUCCAUGGCUUGGAGAACCAAAUCAAGACCAAACAACUUAGUAUUGCCAACCUCAAACCACCUAAUGGUAGACCUAUACCUCCAACCAUAAAGAGACUCAAAAAGAGUCAUCCUAAUAUUAGAGUGACAACUGUUAUUAUAUGCAAAAUCAAUGAAAGGCAAAUGAUCAACCCAUCUGCCUCCAAAAUCAAUAAUACAAGCCCUUAACAUAUCCUUCAAAGUCUAAAUAGUCUACUCUAUUUAUCCAUCCAUUUGAGGAUAGAAAGCAAUGCUAAGGUUCACCUUAGUCCCCAAACCAUUCUAUAACAAGAGCCAAAAGUGAGAAGAAAAUUAUGUACCCUGGUCCAAAAGGAUGGACAUCAGUGCUCCAUGAAAUUUAAAUAUCUCCUUAAUGAAUAACUUAACAUAAUCCUCUCUAGUGUAGGUAGUCCUCACAGGAAAGAAAUAAGCAAACUUAGUCAUCCUAUCCACAAUGACGCAAAUCAAACCAUACUGAUUGCGAGAUCGUGGAAAACCCAUAACAAAAUCCAUAUUGAUCAUCUCCUACUUCCACAUAGAAAAAUCUAUCUAUUGAGACAUUACACCAAGCCUCAAGUGCUCAACCUUUACUUGCUGAUAGACCAUACACUAAGCCAUGAAGUUAGCCACAUCCCUCUUCAUAUUGUUCCACUAAUAAAUCUCACUUAAAUUGCGAUACAUCUUUGUCAAACCUGGAUGAAGUGUGUACCUCGACUCAUGAGCCUCAGUCAAAAUCCUCUCUCACAGCCUAUCAACAUCAGGAACACACAACCAACCUUGGUAACUCAGGAUACCACACCACCAAUCUCAAAGGCCAUAACUUUUUGCUGACCCACAUUACUCUUAAUCUGCAUAAAAAUGGGAUCUAAAGCUUACUUCUCCUUUACCUAAGCACCAAGAAAUGAUUUAACCACUUUUUGCAGAAUUUUCCUCCUUUCUUAGAGUCUAAUAGACGAACUCUCAAAUUAGUCAGCGAGUGAAUCUCCUUCACCAGUCCUCUUUUCUCUUCAUCUACAUGAUAUAAGUUCCCCAUAGACAACCUGCUAAGAGCAUCAACAACCACUAUACCUUUACCUAGAUGAUAGUGAAGACUCAUAUCAUAGUCCUUUAGUAACUCAAGCCACUACCUCUGUCGAAGAUUCAACUUCUUCUGAGUAAAUAUAUACUAUAAUCUCGUAUGAUCUGAAUAAAUGUCUACAUGCACUCUAUACAUAUAAUGAUGCCAAAUCUUCAAAGGAAAAAUCGUAUCCACCAGCUCCAAAUCAUGAGUAAGGUGAUUCUUCUCAUAAACCUUAAGUUUCAUAAAAGCAUAAUCUAUAACCUUCCCACGUUGCAUCAAAACACAACCAAGUCCCAGACGGGAUGCAUCACAAUAAACAACGAACCCAUCAGUACCCGUCAGGCAGGGUUAGAACUGGCGUGGAAGCCAACUUAUCCUUUAAAUUCUAAAAGUUGCCCUCACACACAUCAGACCACAAGAAUUUUACCUUUUUUGUGUCAACUUCAUCAAUGGAGAAACAAUUGAUGAAAAGAUCUCUAAAAACCUCCUAUGAUACCCAGCCAAGCCCAAGAAGCUCUAAAUGUUGGUCGGAGUUGUGGGUCUAGGCCACCUUUUUACCAUCUCAACUUGCUGUGGAUCUACUUUGAUCCCCUCACUAGAAACAACAUGCCUAAGAAAAGUCACAAUAUCCAGCCAAAACUCAUACUUAGAGAAUUUAGCAUACAACUUAUGAUCCAUAAGAGUCUGCAACACAAUUUGGAGGUGAUUGGUAUGAUCCUCCUUACUCUUGGAAUACACCAAAAUAUCAUUAAUGAAUACAAUAACAAAUAAGUCUAAGAGUUGUCUGAACACUCAAUUCAUAAGAUCUAUGAAAGCAGCCAAAGCAUUAUUCAAUCCAAAUGACAUCACCAAAAAAUCAUAGUGACCAUAUCGGGUUCGUAAAGCAGUCUUAGGAAUAUCAAUCUCCUUAAUCUUUAAUUGAUGAUAACCCAAAUAAAGAUCCAUCUUAAAAAAAUAUCUAGCACCCUAAAGCUGGUCAAAGAGAUCAUCAACCCUAGGUAGAGGGUAUUUAUUCUUCAUGGUAACCUUAUGCAACUAUCAUUAAUCUAUACACAUUCGAAGAGACCCAUCUUUCUUACACAUGAAAAGCACGGGAGCACCCCACAGAGAGAUACUAGGACUAAUAAAACCCUUAUUAAAAAGAUCUUUAAAUUACGUCUUUAUCUCCUUUAACUUAGCCAGAGCCAUUCUAUAUGGAGAAAUAGAGAUACGACGGGUAUCCAUUAAAAGAUCAAUCCCAACGUCUAUUUCCUUAUCAGGAGAAAUACUAGGAAGAUCCUCAGGAAACACUUCAGGGAACUCAUUAACCACAUGUAUAAAUUACAAAGAAGGGCCCUCAGAGCUAGAAUCUUUAACCCAGACCAAAUGAUAAAGACUCCCCUUGGAGAUCAACUUACUAGCUCUAAGAUAGGAAAUAAAUCUCUCUUAAGGUAUUAAGGAAUUUCCCUCCCAUUCAACUAUCAUUAAUUAGGGAAUUGGAAGUUGACUUUAUGAGUCAUUCAAUCUAAGGAAGCAUAGCACGAAUAGAGCCAAUCCAUCCCUAAGAUAACAUCAAAAUCCACCAUGUCCAACUCUAUCAAAUCUACUAAGGUCUCCUUAUAAAAGAUGAACACCAUACAAUCCCUAUAUACCCUUCUAACCAUAAUAAAAUCACCCACCAGAGUAGACACAGAGAAAGGAGCAGGAAUUGUCUUGAGACGAAAACCUAAAUGUACAGCUAUAUAAGGGGUCAUAUAAGAAAGGGUAGACCCUGGAUUAAGAAAACAAUAGACAACACGAGAGAAGAGUUGUAAUAUACCAGUAACCAUGUCAGGAGUGCCUCAAAUUCCUGGCAAGUAGCUAAAGAAUAAAGAUGAUUCUGGCCAGUGAUAGUACCCGAAGUAGAACCCUUUGGUGCAAGAGUUGAAGAAGUAGCAAUCGGAACCUUAUUAGCUACGGUGUCAACCUUAGCUGUUGAAAAAUAUCAUUGCAUAUGACCAGGCUGCCCAUAACUAUAGCGCUAAUUCCUCCUCUCAUCAUACUGACCAGGGUGAAGUUAUCCACAAAAUCAAUAGGGAGGAUAUAAUGGGGCUGACUGAGCUACACUAACUUGAUUUAGGCACCCUAUGCCUUAAAUCUACUGUCAGCCUAAAAACGAUGAUCACCAGACAGCUUAGGAUAAGGAGCAAUAGACAACGAAUAUAAACCAAAAUUUCCCCAAGUCUUCUUCUUGCCUCACUGUCUACCAUCCCUUGAACUAGCUUGUUGACCUCUACUUUGCUCUGAAUACCUGAACUUAUAAUUUUGCCUCUCUUCCAUCUUUGAUUUUUUUUUUACCUCCUCUACCUAUUGCAUAUAAACCAUAAACUUUAUAGAUAUCCAUAUCAUUGUUCAAUAUUGUGGCCUUACAUUCCAAUACCAAGUCAUGAGACAAACCAAAAGCAAACUUCCUCAUUUUGGCUCUCAUACUAGACACUAACUCCAAAGCAUAGCAAGACAACUGAUGAAAUUUCAAAGCAUACUCAUUCACACUCAUCCUAUGUUGCUUCAAAUUUACAAACAUCUCUGCCUUAGCUUCCCUAAACUCCUAAGUAAAGAAAUAAUCAAGGAAGGCACUAGAGAUCUCCUCCCAUAAAGCCUACCCAGCAUCAUCACCCCUCGACUUCCCCACUCCUCAUACUACUGAUAUGCCAUAUCCUUUAACUGAUAUGCAGCAAACUCCACACCCUAAGAAUCAAAAGCAUAUACCACCCUAAAGAUUUUCUCCAUCUCAUCAAUAAAUCAUUGAGGAUCCUCCUCAACCUUAGAGAUAGUGAAGGUUGGGGGAUUCAACCUCAUUAAAUGACCAACUCGAUAACCUCCGAAUAAGGAGCAACAGAACCACCCUGACCUAACUAAAAAGUCACCAACUGAGUUAAUAGAUGAAUAGAGUGGUGAAACUAUGCAUUGGAGAUCUCUCUUUGAGGUGACUGAGCAUGAGUGUCACUGGCCAAAGAAAGAAUAGUUGGGAUAGAUGGAACUCUAUUAGGGCAGUACAAUAAGAAGUAGGGAUCCUAGACCAGGUUUGCACCCCAUGAGCAGGUCGAGUUCCAUUGGCAUUGUCCUCAUGUAAGAAAAAGGGUCCAGCAGAAUUUCUACGAGCAUCAAAUCUUUUGGGAGGCAUGAUUUGAAAUGCGAGUAAGGCAGAGAUUAGAGGAAUUUUCAAGACACUAGAAAUAGAACACAAGAAAGGAAAACAUUCCUAAAUACCUUGUAGCCUCUCCCUUAUAAAUGUGGAGUGCUACAAAUCUGUAAAAGAAACUCUACUUGACAUAGAUUUGUGGACACCUUAAUGACCCUAAACCUAGUGCUCCGAUACCACGCUUGUCAUACUCUACCCUAUUCCUAGAUGUAAUGGGUAUCGCAAGCCCACCAUAGGCCGAAGACCACACCUAUAGUCUAUCAAAUCUAAACAUGAUAUAGUUUGAUAGAGGAAAUAAUUCAAUAAAACAUAUGGAAGAUAAUAACCAAGACAAAGGUUCUAAGAUAUCAAACAAAUAUCCCAAUCCACAGCUGUCCACAAAAGCCUUUAAAAGAACCCGCAUAUCAACUAGGUCGGGACAUACCCCCAAUCGUGGAAAAAAAGGAGUUCAAAUAAAAAAACUGAUAGGAUUUUAAUACUCAUAAGGAAAAUAAUAAAAUAUUUGACCUUUCAAAAGAUGGAGUCUCACCACUUCAAUGCACACCAACCGACAAACCAGAACUAUCUAAUACUACACAUGGGUAAAAGAGACAUCCUCGAACCCUACAUUAUGAAACAAUAUAGCAUUCUAGGAUAGUUAAUAGGGUGAGCACUAGCAUAUAAUUCAGGAUAGGGAUAAAAUAAUGCCAUUUCAAAAUCAAGUUUGACUCAUUGUACAUGUUCACAUAUAUUUAUACAUACAUGUAUAAGAUGUUGAGAUAGGGAAUAAAGUUUAUCAUGAGAUUUAAAAUCACUAGCCUAGAUUGUGUAGCUCCGUCUAUCAUAAAAAUACCCAUGGGCUAUAUAGUUCUGGCUCUCCUCAUUGGAAGGGCCCUAUAUAUAUAUAUAUAUAAAGUGUCACACAUGCACACGGUCAUUAAGAACACCCUCAUGCCAGCAAACGUGGUUUCCAUUAUUGGUCUCUCGAGGACCUCCACCUUCACAGUGAGCUACAAAACCCCCUUUAAUCCCAAUUAGAAGCUUCACACAUAGACCCAUCCAUUUAACCAAGGAAUCAUCCAUUAAGGUAUUAUCAAUGGUAUCGUCAUACUAAUUACGCUUACAAGCUAAUAUCAUUAUGCCAUUUCAAUUACCCAUCAACUUGGAGGAAUCUACAACCCCCAAGGUCUAAUUUAAAAUCAAACAUGUUCCAUUAAUCCUUUUAUGCAUUGAAAUGUUUCAAAAAUUAGUUUUAAUAUGCAUAUAUCCAUGCUUUAAAGCCAAUUUCAUAAGGUGGGUUGAGGUUAUUACUAAUUCCAAUAUGAAAAUUAAUUAAUUUGGGAGAAUCCAUGACCAUCGUCCUAAUUCCCAUGCCCAUACAAAAAUUUAGUUCAUAAUCCAUGUGAUAAAGCAUGAAUAACAAUUUCAAAAACCAUGGAAAAACCAACCAAGUAGUAGUCAUUCAAAUCCUUCAACCCAUCAUACAAAACCUAACAAGUAAAUCCACAUAAACUAUAAUUAAAUACAUAUUUUUCAUAAGACAAGUUUUAGGGAAGAUAUACAAGCUUGGAAUACCAAGAAUUUGAAGGAGACACCAUAAUUUGAGCCUUAGAUGACCAAACCCUAAAAAACCUAAGCUUGUUUUUUAUUGGGGAAUUUGUUAGAGAAGUAUUUGUGUUGGCUAAGUGAUGAAGAUAGGGACCCUUAGGUGUUUUAUGUUCGUGGGUCAUAUUUAGAGUAGAAGGGAAAUGUCUAAAGUAUCCCCAUUUAAACUGCAGAAAAAUAACACUACUGGCUAUGAGUCAUCUCAUAACUCGUGAGGACUGGUCACGAGUCAUCACCAUGACUUAUGGUAUGGGAAGAAGGUAUGAGUAAUUAUAAUGGUUUGGUCAUGAUUCCCUCAUUAUAACUUGUGACAUCACUAUACAACUCGUGAAGACAAAUCGUGAACUUAACAGAAACCAUGGACAAACUUACUGGUCAGGCUACGAUUAGUACCCUACGACUCAUGAGGAGUCUUUUUGACUCAUCAACUAAGUCGUAGCUUGAUUAGUGAGAACAAAACCAAGAGAACUUUUUAGAGUUCAGAUCUUGGGAUGUUACAACUAACUUCAGAAAGGGGUGUCCAAAGGUGGAGGGCUAAACUUCAAUACUCCUACAACCACUUUACCUAAACAACAUGCAACUGAAAUAAAUAUUACUACAGAAGUUCUAACUAGCUUGAUUGAUAAAUGUUGAGGUGCUGAAAUGAAUAAUAAAGUUCAAGAUUCUAAUUAUGUCCAGAAAAAUGAUAUGAAUGCUAAUUUUGAUGCAGAAAGGGUUGAUAUUAAUGAUCAAAAUUCUGCAUAAUUUUAUUUUGGUAACUAGGUUCAGUGUAUGGGUUUUGAUACUAGUCAAAGAGCCGAAUAUCAGAUUAUUACUCCUAUACAGGUGCAAGAUUCUUCAGGGAUUAGGAACUUGAAUAUUGAUACUCAAAGGGUUGAUUAUGAUGUUUAUUCUAUAGAAAUUCAGAACUAUUCUAUUCAUAGUCUCAAUAAUUAAUCUACUUUUGCUCUCAGUCAAAAGAGGAGAUGUUAGUAAAAGAAGCAAGAAAAAGGGGAACAACAACACCAAAAGGGUCAACAAAAUUUGGUAUUAGUGCAACAGCAAGUUGGUCUUGAUAUUUGUAAUGCCUCAAAUCCUAUUGGGGUGGACAGGCACCCGUGGCCGUGAAAGACCGAGAGACCUAAUCCAUAACAUUGUAAUUAUCAUGCAUGUAACUAUAAUAACCAAAGGAUUUUCCAUACAUGGAUAUAAUGCACUGAUGAGAAAUAAAUGACAAGCCUAAAACUAUAUAUACCAAAUUGGCCAUUGGGGCCAUAACAUCUAAAAGAUAAGAAGCUAUCAUUCUUAACUUUACAUUGGUAUACAAAGCCACUAAAAGAUACAUAGAAACUUGGUAAAGGUUGGUACAAACCCCCGCCUUACUCCUAACUACUAUACAGUACCAAAAUAUAUAAAACAAACUCAGAAAGCUCCCAAUCAAACUGGAUCUCACCAAUACUCAUUGGAUAUCCCUGCAACUACUGAGGGGGUAUAUGAGCUAAAGUACCUAUUCCUGUAGCAUAAAAUAUAGGUCCCCUGUGAGGGACGUAAGCACAAAAAUAUGUACUGAAUAUGUAAGGCUGAAGGUACUACACAUGAUACAAAAGCUUAUUAAAAAUCAAGUACAGUGCGUAAAUAGUGCUAGUAGACCACCUUUAUAUAUACUUGUGGGACUAGGUACAUUACAUUCUUUUAUUUAUUUUUGCCCUUCUUACUUCAUAAUCUUUAUAAUCCAUAUAAUACAAAAGACUAGCUGAUCAGUGGUAAAUAGACAAAUCGAGAUCAACCCAUGCAAGGCUUAUGCCUUGAGUUGCCACCUAUAUAUGAACAUUGGGAUCAAUCCAUGCUAGGAUUUUUCCCCUGAGCUUCCACCCACAUAUAAGGUAUCGAGAUCGGCCCAUGCUAGGCUUAUACCCCUGAGCUGCCAUCCAUUUUAUAGAUUUUUGUUGCUUAGUUUAUUUAGCCUUUGAGAUUAUUACCUUGGUGUCCAUAACAUUAUGGUACCUUAAAACAAUAAUCUUUCAAUAAGGGACAUAUGAAUAAACACUUAAUGCAAUGUCAAAGAGUUAUGGGGCAGAUUGUACAUGAAUGAAAUGUUUAGGAGCUGAAAAUAACAUACAGGUCUUAUUUGACUUAAAGGAGAACUCUUGAGACUUGCUAGUGAUUGUAAAAAUAUAGACUUGAUAAUAAGCAUGUGGUGAGGUAUUUUAACACAUUAGAGAGUGUGAAGAAAUUGGUUAGCUACAUGGGAGAUCAUAUGUUUCCAUUAUGUAUCAUCUACUAUGGGAGGGCUUUAGAGAGCAGCCUUACAUACCAGAUCAUACAACUCAAAUGUUAACCCAAUUAACAUCCUGACUUUAAGGUUUCUUAUCUACAAUAAAGUAUAUAGUAAAACUAGUAUUAGUAACCAACUAACACACUUGGGCUACUUAGCUUCACAAAAUAGUAGUCAGGCAGUAUGCCCAUAGUUUAUUAAUCAAGGGUGUUAUUUUAAUCAUUUUAUCCUCCAAUUACAUCCACAUAACAUACAUAUUUUUAUAAGAUUCCUCAAAAUAACUUUGGCUUCAUUACACCCUCCAAAAAAUGCAUAAAAUAGAAUGGGUAAUAAACGUAUACAAUAAUUAUGUAAUACCCUGGGAAAUUUUUCACUGAAAUUUUGUGCGUGUGUUGGGUUCUAUCUUCUAGAAUGAAUUAUAAAUUUUUCGUGUGGAAUGUCUUAGAUUAUGACCCACCAUUGCGUAGAUUAUCGAAUAAGAUUUCCAACGAUAUGUGGUUAAUCCAAAACGGACACUCGAGCGACGAGUUAUGAACAUUCCGAUCGAACCGCGAAUAGUAGUGAACAGUAAAACGUGCAGGAAAAAGUUCUGAGGCCUGGCGUAUUUUUGCACCAACUUUAAAUGAUCAUAAAUCCUUGUACAUAAUGAUCUGGGUGAUCUACUAUAUAUCAACAAAAAGCUCUGCGAGUCCUCUUUCCAAUGAAAUUAGUUUCAUCCAAUUUGUCUAUCGGAGCAAAAAGUUAUGGUCGAUCUACUUCAGCCUAUCAAAAGUGAAUUUUUGGGUCAAUUUUAAAUGAUCAUAACUCCUCGUACACAAUGAUCUGGGUGAGAUACUAUAUAUCAACGGAAAGAUAUGAGAGUCUUCUUUCUAAUAAAAUUAGUUUCAUCUAAUUUAGAUAUCAGAGUAAAACGUUAUGGUUGAUCUACUUCAGACUACCAAAACAAUCCACCAAAGGACAGAUUCGAGAAUUAUUUGAUUUUUAGGGGCGUUUUGGUCAUUCCUCCUCAUCCAAAAUCCAUCCAAACCCUAUAUUAAAGCCUAUUAGAAGCAUUAUAUGUUAUAUUUUAUCAAAUUUCCUCAAAAAGAAAACCCUAUACUCCUACAUCCAACUUCAAGAACCUCCAAAGUUCACCAUUAAUUCUGCAAAUUUAUUCAAGAUUCCAAGUUCCUAGUUCAAGAACUCCAAGAACCAUCAUUCAAAGGCACGAUUAACAUCUCAAAAAUGAGUAUCGAUCUAAAGU